UGUGCUCCGGUUUAGAGUUUGUUUUCCUUUGUUUUUCGUUUGAUGGUUUUUUUGGGCCUGUCCAAAACCACUUUGAGUUAGCCUUUUGGGCCGUAAUUGUGGUGUGGGGCCUGUCCCACCCGAUUAGGGUUAGAGUCGCCCUAUAAAGGGUUUUUGGUAGCCGUCGUUGUAAGGGGGAGUUGAAUUUUCGAAAUUAAGAGUAGACCAGAAAGUCCCAAUGUUUGGGGGCGCAUAUCGUCGUGUUUGCUUGCUGAUCUUGAAAAUCUGAUGUUAUGCCCUGCGGUGGAGUUGAUUCUAAUCAGUUCCAACGUGAGGAAUUGGAGGGAUUUGAUCUGGAUUACUUCAGAUUGAUUUCGCUCGGUUGCGGAUCAGCUUGUUCGUCGAUCGCCGUGAAAGAUUGGGCCUAAAACCCUUUGGAUCACGUUGAUCCUUAUCAGAUGGACGUCUUCUUUACAAAAUUGUAAAAUUACCGCUUAAAUGGCACAUGAGCCAGUUCACAAAAAUUCUUAAGAUAAAUAUACACUACUACAAAAUACAAAUUAAGGAAGAGUUCUUCAUACAUCCGCAAGAACUCGUGGUUCCAAAUCCAAUGUAGGUCGUGAACUAAACAACAAAGCUAAAUUUUGAUAUAUGCUCAUAGUGUUUUCUACGGACCGCCGGUAUUAUAUAUGCUUGAAGUUGAAUCAGUGCAAGGAUGGACAAUACAAUACUCUUUUUUCCGCCCACACAAAAUACUUUGAGAUUUUAAGAAAUUGUCGUAUGCUUUCAAAUUCCACAUUUUCAAUACAAUACGUUGUUGUAGAGUAUAUAUCUACUUAUGAUAGUUUGGACAGUAAUAAAUAGCAUAAAUUAUCACAAAACAAUUAAAUGUACACCUUCUUAUGAUAUUCGCAAAUAGUUAGUUGUUAUUUAAUGCAGUUAUUAUCUAAAAAGAUACGGUGCCCUCAUUUACUACCCAUAUGGAGCACAACACCAUUAAUUUUGUCCAUUUAAAAAAGAUUUAGGUCGCAAAGCAUUUAUUAUGGCGCCCCACGUUUUGUGCAUAUCGCUUUCUAAUUGUUUGGCAUAUCUUCGUCUUGGUAUUAACUAUUUGCCAUAUUAAAAUAUACAAAUCAUUACCAGAAAGUACUCUUAGAUGGUCAAAAGGUAAUUUGGUAUUCAGAAUCAUAUCCUAAAUUAGUGUAUCCAACUCGUACAAUAAGCUCGGAAGGUUAUUAGGUCUGCACGAACCAUUUAGCUCUUGCUACAUGUCCUCUUCAUUCCGUCCACCACCGGGAGGGCGUGCCGCGUGAUAAAACUUCUCUCCAAACGGCCGCUCUAUAUAGUUUUCAACCCAUUGCGGAUUCGUCUAUAAAUAUGUAAAGCCCUAUAUUUAGUGAAUUGUAACUCUUUUAAGACAGUUUUGACAACUUAUUUAACCAUCAUGAUCAGUACAAAAUACUAGUCCUUCCCGAAUACAAUCUAGAACAAAAUCACGAAACAUCGAGAUCCACAAACUCCGAGGUCUAAGCUAUAAGAGCAUACGGUCUAUUUAGAUUGUGGCCAAAUUGUUGCUCACUAACAUUCCACCGUGACCAAAGAGUUGAUCUUUGUUUAGACGGUUACUAAUGUUUUGCUAUCCAAUGCUUUCUUAUUUUCGGCACUCUAAUUCAUUUUUCUUGCCAAUGCCGAUCAAAGUACUGGGCAGCCAAUUUUUCGGUAGACCAAACCUAGGCUGAAAACUAAAUAGUACUGUGAGCAAAAGAACAACAAGGAGUGAAGCGCGACACCAAAGCUUUAAAUUGUCGUUACGUUGGAUCCAAAAACGCCAAAACCUUUUCGAUCAGACGAAGCUUCGAAGGCCAAAAAGCUACUACAGCCUACGCUCGCAUUUGACACACACGCGUAAAAUCCGUCGUAAAUUUCCUGUGUCCCCAACACGUCAUUCUCCCCGGUAUAUAUCCAUCCUUCCAUCCCUGUCAGUCAUCACAGCUUAUACAGCGAACAAAAGCAGCCAGCAGCCCUGGGCUCGCCGGUGCUAGCUAGCUCGAUCGAGGACCCGAUCGAUCCCCUUUAAUUCCAAUGCCGCCGCCGUCCACUUCCAACGCCCAACACUCCCCUCACGCCAUGCUUCUUCUUCUCCGGCGCCGGCGGCCGAUCGACGACCUAUCCACCACCGCCGCCGCGAUCUCCCUCCUCCUCCUUCUCCUCGUCGCCGUUCAGGCUGCGGCCGUCGUCGAGGAAUUCGUGUAUCCGGGCUUCCUCGGUGCCGGGGAGAACGUGACGACUACCGGCGGCGCCGUGGUGACCGCGUCUGGCCUGCUGCAGCUGACCAACUUCACCAAGGAGGAGUUCGGGCAUGGCUUCCACGGCACCCCGAUCCGCUUCAGGGACGCCGCCACGGGCCUCCUGGUCUCCUUCUCCACCACCUUCGUCUUCGCCAUCUUCCCGCGGUACCCCGACGCGCUCGGCCACGGCCUCGCCUUGGCCUUCGCCCCUUCCCCGGCCAUCCCCGGCGCCGUCACGGGGAAAUACCUCGGGCUGUACAACACGUCGAACAGUUUGGGGGCGGUCGACAGCGGGAUCGUCGCCGUCGAGCUCGACACCGCCAGGGACCCCGAGUUCGGCGACGUUGAUGAUAACCAUGUCGGGAUCGACCUCGACGCUCUCCGCUCCGUCAACGCCUCCCCCGCCGCGUACUGGCGGAGCGAUGGCGAUGGCGGGAGGUUUGUUAAUUUCAGCCUGGAUAACGGCGCGGCGAGGCAGGUAUGGAUCGAGUACGACGCCGCCACCGCGUUGCUCGAGGUGACCGUGGCGCCGGCGGGGGAGCCCCGGCCGGCUGUCGCGCUCGUGUCGUACAGCCUCGACGUCUCGUCUUCCUUGGUGGCCCACGACGGCGGUACGUACGUCGGGUUCUCCGCCGCGAACGGCGCCGCCUCGAGCACGCACUACGUGCUGGGAUGGAGCUUCCGCAUCGGCGGCGGGCCCGCGCCGGAGCUCGAUCUGUCCGCGCUGCCGAAGCUCCCGAAGCAGCCGAGGCCGUCCAAGGCCCCGCCGCCGCUCACCGUGGCUCUGCUCGUCGUGCUCGCCGUGGUGGUGGCCCUUGUCCUGGCCGUCGCGGCGACGGUCUUGGUGCGGCGGCGGAGGAGGCGGUUCGCCGACGCGGAGGAAGAAGAGUGGGAGAGCGAGUACGGGCCGCACAGGAUCAGCUACAGGGAUCUCCACGCCGCCACGGACGGCUUCCGCCACGUCAUCGGCGCCGGCGGCUUCGGCCAAGUGUACCGCGGCGUGCUCCCGGCGGGCUCAGGCUCGACAGAGAUCGCGGUGAAGAAAGUGUACCCUCAAGGCCACGGUUCGUCGCAGCAGGGGCUCCGGGAGUUCAUAUCGGAGAUCGCGAGCAUGAGCCGGCUCCGGCACCGGAACCUGGUCCGGCUCCUCGGCUACUGCCGCCGGCGCGGCGGCGAUGGCGAGCUGCUCCUUGUCUACGACUACAUGCCCAACGGCAGCCUGGACCGGCACCUCUUCGUCCCCAGCUCCGGCAACUCCAAGCGCCACCCGCUGAGCUGGGAGCAGCGAGCGAAGAUCAUCCAUGGCGUCGCUGCGGGAUUGCUGUACCUCCACGAAGGGUGGGAGCAGGUGGUGGUGCACCGGGACGUGAAGUCCAGCAACGUGCUGCUCGAUGGCGCCAUGAACGCCAAGCUCAGCGACUUCGGGCUCGCGCGGCUUUACGACCGCGGCGGCGGCAGCGGCGAGCAGCGGACGACGAGCAUAGUGGGCACGCCGGGCUACAUCGCGCCGGAGAUGAGCAAGACGGGGAGAGCCACCGCGGCCACCGACGUCUUCGCCUUCGGGGCCUUCCUGCUCGAGGUGGCCUGCGGCCGCCCGCCCAACGCACCGGGAGCCGGAGCCGGAGACAACGACGACGACGACAACUACCCGCCGGGGCUGGUGGACCUGGUGGCGGGGAGGUGGAAGGCCGGGGAGAUCAAGGCGGCGAGGGACCCGAGGAUGGCGGUGGCCGGGGAGCAAGAGGAGGGUGAGGUGGAGACGGUGCUCAAGCUCGGGGUGCUCUGCUCGCACCCGGACCCGCGGCGGCGGCCGGGCAUGAGGCGGGUGGUGCAAGUGCUCGAAGGGGCCGCGCCGGCGCCGGAGACGAUGCCCGAGGACCUCGGCGCGGGCUUGUUCGGGUACGGCGGCGAGGCGUUCGACGAGUUCGUCGACACCGGGUUCACGGCGUCGUCCGAGGGCACCACCGCCACGAUCACGCGGCCGUCCUCGUCGCGUUCCCCCGAGGAGAAACAGCAGCUCAUUACUGCUGAUUAAUUAGUGGCGAUUCAUUCUCGUUUGUCUUGGAGCUAACCAACUUUUGGCAAUUUCUGCACCUGUGCUGUUUAACUGUCAGAUAGCAGGUUUUCGGUUGAGCUUGAUCGACCUCGAGGUGGAUUUUUUUUUUCAGAAUACUUUUUUCUCUGUAUUUUUUACAGCUAAAGUUUUAGCGCAACAUGGUCUAGCAAUCGCAAACCGAGCCAACGAUAGAAUUUUCUUACCAACGUACGAUUCUCCUAGCGGUGAGAUUACUAUUCUGAGGUGGGCGACGAAGUCUUUUUCAUUGCGAAAACCAUACAAAGCUCUCGUCAGCAGAUCGUUCGCUCCGAGAGACUAAAGAACGAACGUUCGCUCAAUAUAAAUUCCAAUUUUUGUGCUAAUAGCAAAUAGCUUUCCUGGUUCACAUGUACUUCGAUGGAAGUACUCCAAAAGGUUUCCUAUUACAGCACGAACCGAGUGUAUUUAUUUUAUGUUACAAGGGAGAUGCACGUACCAAACGGCACAUGAGCACCAUGAUUCCAUGAAUGAUAAAAUUGCAGAGUAUCGGAACUGACUUAAUUGCCCAUCACCUUAAAUGGUAAAAAAAAAACUAUGGGAAUCAAAACUAGUUGCGUGAGCUUCGGCCAUCAAGAGAACAAUGCACAAUCAAUGGCGCUCUUAAAAAAGAAAGUAAUUCCGAGAUAAUGGCACUGUGGUUGCUGGCUGGCAUGUCAGGACCUCUCCAUCAGCAGAAACCGUGUAGGUUUCUGGGUCGACUUCGAUUUUGGGAAGCGCGUCAUUGAGCUUCAUGUCCAGCUUUGUUAAACCGCGAACACCGCCAACAGCUUCCACCCUCUUUGAUAGUUUGUACUCUGAUGCAACACCAGCUUCUUUCGCUGCCUGGUGAUCAUUUCAGAAAUUAAGCACCAGCCAUUGUUCAUUUGCCAAGAACAUAUAAUUCGAUCAGAAUAUUUAUUUAAACAAAGAUAUCACUGUAAUAUCUGGGUUAAGGUUGUUAAGAAACUUUUCAUGGUUUGUGGAGUAAUAACUUUUUCACUGUACUUUGUAAGGUUUAGUAAUAUAAUAACGGAAUUUAAUGGUGGAAGUCGUAUCAUGCUGGCUCUGAAAAAAAGUAAAACUUCUCCAAACUUGUUUUCCUUCAAUGGGAUAUUAUAUUACUAAUCAAUAAUCAUUGUAAACUUCUCCAAACUUGUUAAAAGAGUUAAAAACUAGCCUGACCUUGCUCACAAAUGCAAUCGAGUUAGAACUUCCGGCCUUUCCAAAUGCACCAAACAUAGGACGCAUCAUAACCUGCAUCAAGAAUGCACCAUGCUGCGCUGUAAGUUUUUCUACAAGGAGCUUGUGUAGAGACAUAAAAAAACAGAAGAAAAAUGGUCAUCCGCACAUUUCGGUUUCUGCAUAUACACUUAUACUUGAACAUUUUAACAAUGACAGACAAGAUACCGCCACGACCAUUUCCACGAUCAAGGAGGAAACGUACUGACGCCUGACAGGAUCUGUUUGCAUCUGCAUAGCUUUUGGAUAAGAUGCAUCUGCAUAGCUUUUGGAUAAGAUGCAUCUGCAUAGCUGCCGACCUAGGUCCAAUGGGUGUUUAAAUUGUUCAGAGCGUGAGUCCUAGAGUCAAAUCUGUAAUGGCUCACAGGCAACAGUAGGCUGUGUGUUCCUUGGUAUUUUGGUUCACCAAGUCCACCCCCUUGUUUUGUAACUCUUCUACUUUCUACUGAUAGAAAGAUGUGCAAAUCUUCUGAGCUAUUCUUGAAAAAACUAAAGUGUGAAACUGUGGAACAAGGCCUCACCUAGGGCAGAGGGCUUAUGGAUUUCGUGGUCUGUGGUGUGGCGGCUGCAGUUCUUGGGGAGGACGGGAGAGAGAGCAGGAAGAAAAACCCUUCAUUCAGGCUACUUAAUGGGCCUUGGGCCAGCAUGGGCCAACUAUAUUCAACACUCCCCCUUAAGAUGGGUGAUAUAUAUCUAUCAUUCCCAUCUUGUCACAUGCAAGAUUGCAAUCCUUAGUUCCCAAUCCUUUUGUUAGGCAAUCUGCAAGUUGCUGUCCUGAACAGACAUGUUCUAUCUUGAUAAUUCUAGCAUCAAGCUUCUCCUUUAUAAAGAAUCUGUCAAUUUCGAUAUGCUUUGUUCUGUCAUGCUGAACAGGAUUAUUUGCAAUACUUAUUGCUGAUUUGUUAUCACACCACACAUUUAAACAUCCAUUCUUCAAAAUCUUUAGCUCACUCAAUAGAUGUCUGACCCAUAGCAUUUCACUCAACCCUUGUGACAUAGCUCGAUAUUCAGCCUCUGCCGUUGACUUGGAUACCACUGGCUGUUUCUUGCUCCUCCAUGACACUAAAUUUCCUCCAACAAAGACACAAUAGCCUGAGGUAGAUCUUCUGUCAUCUAAACAACUUGCCCAAUCUGCAUCGCUAUAGCCAUCUAUAUUCAAGUGCCCAUUGCUUCUGAACCACAACCCCUUUCCUGGUGUUCCCUUCAAAUAUCUUAAGAUUCUAUGAACAGCCUCCAUAUGUCCACUCCUUGGUUCAUGCAUAUAUCGACUCACGACACUUACCGCAUAAGCUAUAUCUGGCCGUGUAUGACAGAGGUACAAUAACCUUCCAACCAACUUCUGAUAUGACUCCUUGUCCACUAGUUCUCCAGAUUGAGCUGUCACCUUAUGAUUUUGAUCAAUCGGAGUUGAUGCAGCUCUACAUCCCAACAUGCCCAUAUCACUGCGAAGUUCUAGCGUAUACUUCCUUUGUGAUAGAGCUAUUCCCUUUGACGAUCUAGCCACUUCUAUGCCAAGGAAAUAUUUAAGCCGUCCAAGGUCCUUGACCUCGAAAGUCUUACUCAAGCUCCUCUUCAGUCUUGUUAUCUCAGCUUCAUCGUCUCCCGUAAUGAUUAUAUCAUCGACAUAGACAGCUAGAAUUGUGAUCUUCUGCUCGGAAUGUCUGUAGAACACAGUGUGGUCCCCAUUGCACUGACCAUAUCCCAUGUCACACACGGCCCGCCUGAAUCUAUCAAACCAGGCUCUAGGCGAUUGCUUCAAACCAUAAAGAGACUUUUUCAAUCUGCAUACUUUGCCGGCAGUUCCAAACUCUAUGAGACCAGGCGGUACCUCCAUAUAGACUUCCUCCUGCAAGUCCCCAUGCAAGAAUGCAUUUUUGACAUCAAGUUGAUGCAAUGACCACCCAAAGUUGGUUGCACAAGAUACUAGAAUUCUCACUGUGUUCAUCUUCGCUACAGGUGCAAAGGUCUCAUCAUAAUCGAUACCAUACGUCUGGCUAUACCCUCUUGCCACAAGUCUUGCCUUGUAUCUUUCAAUUUUACCAUCAGAAUUCUGCUUUACCGUGUAAAUCCAUUUACAGCCCACUGCCUUCUUUCCAUCUGGAAGAUUUGUCAACUCGCAGGUCCUAUUCUUCCUUAAAGCCUCUAGCUCUUCCCUCAUUGCUGCGCACCACUUAGGAUCCUGCCGUGCUACUCUCCAAUCAGUGGGAAUGGACACUAAUUGGAGAGAGGCUACAAAUGCUCAAUAAGAGGGUGACAAGGACUCUUAUGACACAUAAUUGCUUAUAUCAUUUUCAAAGCCAUACCGUUGUAUAGGUUUGUUUACCACAGCAUGUGUCCCCUUCCUCAAGGCAAUGGGCAAGUCCUCUGUCGUCUCUGAAUCAGUUCUGGACUCUCCAGAAAUACCAUCAUUGCCUCGUGUCUCAUUCUGAACCUCUGCUUGUUGCUCCCCCUGGAUCUGUUGCUCCCCCUGGAUCUGCUGCUCCCCCUGGAUCUGCUGCUCCCCCUGAACUUUCCUUCUUGUAUACACUCGAAGAUUUUGUUCCUCGUGUGGCCUAGGCCACCUUCUCUGCGCCUCAGCUGCCGCCGUAGAGAUAGAAUCUGGUGCCACAGAGAUAGGAAUAGAGCCAACAAAAAAUCUGGUCCGGGUUGCAUCAUGAGCAUUCUGUUGAACAGACUGCUCCUCAACUUGCUCGCCCUCUUGACCAUGCUGUAUAGGUUGCAGCUGGUCAAGUCCCUCAAACAGAACACUUAGAUCAGUCUUCUCUCCAUAAAAUGGCUCGGAUUCUCUAAACGUGACAUCCAUACUUACAAAUGUGCGUCUCUCUGACGGACACCAACAUCGGUAACCCUGCUGGCCAGAUGGAUACCCAAUGAAGAUGCAUUUUACAGCCCUCGGAUCCAACUUUCCCACUGAUGGCCUGUGAUCCCUGACAAAACAAACGCAUCCAAAUAGUUUCGGGGGUACUACAAAUUUGUUCUCCCCCAAUAGCGUUUCACAAGGAGACUUCAUACCCAAUACUCUUGAUGGUGUGCGGUUGAUCAAAUAUGUAGCGGUCAUCAUAGCUUCACUCCAAAGGAAUUUUGGAACAUUCAUGGUGAACAUCAAUGAUCGAGCUACCUCUAGUAUGUGCCUAUUUUUUCUCUCUGCUACGCCAUUCUGAGGCGGAGUGUCUGGACAUGAUGUCUGGUGUAGAAUCCCAUGCUCUGACAAGAAGGUCCCAAAGACUUGGUUCACAUAUUCAGUACCGUUAUCGGUCCGUAUCACUUGCACCUGCACCUUGAACUGAUUCUUCACAUAGGCAUAGAAAUUUUUGAAACAUUGAAAGACUUCAUCCUUGUGCUUCAUUAGAUAAAUCCAAGUCAUGCGUGAGUAACAGUCAAUAAAGGUCACAAAGUACUUCAUGUUGCUAAUAGACACAACAGGACAUGUCCACGCAUCUGAAUGAACAAGCAUGAAAGGUGUGAUGCUCCUCAAUCCUUUACUAACAUAAGACACCCUGGUGUGCUUUGCCCACUCACAGGCAUCACACUUUAACUUAUUCUUAUCCACUCCUUUCAUCAUAUCAGGAAACACCUUGUACAUCUUAUCAAAUGAUAUAUGCCCCAUUCUACAAUGUUGUGUCAUUGCCAUAGUUUCCUUUUCUCCAAACAUUGCUACUAACAUCGAGUUGUCCAUCUGGCCGAGUCCCUCACGAUCCAUGUACCAAAAUCCUCUAUGUCUGGUUCCAGUCCCAAUCUUCUGGCCCGUCACACGAUCUCGGAUCACACAUCUAGCUCUAUUCAGAAGUAUCUCGCAGUCCUGCUGGUCUAUAAGAGCACUCAAUGACACAAGGUUCACGGGAAACGCAGGGACAUACAAGACUGAAGACAAUCUGAUUUUUGGUGUACAUUUCACUGAUCCCAUCCCUUGGAUAGGCCGAGCAGUGCCAUCAGCAGUUUGUAUCGUUUCCUCGUGUGUGGGAGAAUAUGAACUAUAUAGUUCAAACUCCUUUGAAUUUCCAGUUACGUGUUUAGAUGCCCCAGAGUCUAACACCCACUCUGAAUUGGUGCCAUGAACAGCUACGGAUGCCCUUUCAGCAACAACUUCACUUGCGUACAAACAAACUUGUUUGUCCUCCUGACUGACUUGCUUGAUCUCAUCCUGCAAGAACGAUGUUUUGUCCAUCUUCAUUACCAUCAUCUGGAGCUGCUCCAACAGCUGCCUACAUUUCUUUUCUUCACAGACACUGCGUGCCACAACCUCCAAUAUCUCUGCAACUAACGACAACUAACGACAACACUUGUAGAUUCUUCGUGUUGACAUUCAAUCCCAUUGAAUUCGAUCUCUGAACUUCCAUCAAAUUCCCUUCAAUCUUCUCCUCCUUCCCAGUUGCAGCCACUGCCUCCACUUCCUUGACCUGAAGCAGCUCAACCACGCCCUGCUGUUUCUUCCCGACAGCCUCAUCAUGCCAUGUCUGGACCUUCCCCCUGCAUUCCAUCUCCUGCACUGUCCUUGCCCUCGCUGCCUCGAGAGAGUCCUUGGCAGAAUAAAGGGGCGUGCACUGCACCAUCUCCUCCUCCACGCUGCUAGCGACGGUCACCCUUGCUGUGCCGCCGUACAUCACCUCACCACUGCGCCAUGCUUCCUCGCUGCCUGGCGCCGCCCCCGCGCCUCCUGCGCAUCGCCAAAGCCUCUUGCAAGCCACCGCUGCUGCAGCCUGCACACGCGCCCGCACCUCGUCCUGUGCCUCCCAGCGCCGCCGCUGCAGCCUGCACAUGCCGCCAAGACCCAUACUGGCCGCACCAGACUCACGCACAGGAAAUCGUGGGGGUCGCCUCAGGAACCGCCGCCGCCGGAUCCGCUGCCGCCGGUGGCUCUGAUACCAUGUGGAACAAGGCCUCACCUAGGGCAGAGGGCUUAUGGAUUUCGUGGUCUGGUGUGGCGGCUGCAGUUCUUGGGGAGGACGGGAGAGAGAGCAGGAAGAAAAACCCUUCGUUCAGGCUACUUAAUGGGCCUUGGGCCAGCAUGGGCCAACUAUAUUCAACAGAAACUACAAUAUAAGAGUUAGGUAAAAAAAUAGCAUGUUGUUUUUUUAAUCAAUUUUAACUGCACAGGGAGAAAGGUUUUUCUUGCACUAACAUCAGUGAGGCUCUGACCAAAAUUGGAUGCCAUGGUCAGCUUGGUCAUAAAUAGUAAGCUUCAAGCUAGUUAUUUACUUCCUCUGCCCGGUAUUAAGUGUCACAACUUUGUCUAGAUACACAUGUAUCUAGACGCAUUUUAGUGUGUAGGUACAUGCGUAUUUACACAAAGUUGAGACUUAACACUGGACGGAGGGAGUACAUGUAGGCUAAAAGAGAACAUUAUGGAUGAAUUGGAACAAGACUAUCUUAUUCAAAGGAUAUCAGAGAAAGAAGUCCAUACAGGCUCAGGUGUUGGAAUGCUAGCAUUUGGAUCACCCAUGUUAGCCCAAGCAAUUGCACCGCCUUUUAUAAUCAAUUCUGGUUUUGCACCAAAGAAAGAAGAUUUCCACAAAACUAGAUCAGCUAGCUUCCCCACCUGACAAAAGUAUGCGGGAAUGAACAUUAAAAAUGAGAAGAAAAAAAAGAUCAGUUAGCGGCUGAAUUAAGAGAUUCACGGGAAAUGCUUAGCCAGAAUGUUACUGGGUGUGACAUUAAUGAUACAUAUGAAGGGAUGAUAAUUAACGAAAGCACCCUCUAUUAAACAGAUUAUAACAAAUUCCAAAACGAAAAUAUCUUGCGCUGCCUUGAUACAGGGAAUUUUUUUAGGAGCUACAGUGAUAUUACACAUGUUGCUGGAAGCCUGGAAUCAAGAGUUUGGGGAAAAAAAAAGUACCAGGCAUAUUAACAAAUUAGACACAAUUACACUUUAUAUUUUAUUAUCCUCAACUUAUACCAAGCAUAAGAAACAAAGCAGAUUUUGUUUUCCUUUAGAUGUAUUGUUUCAUGGUGCGUGGAAGACCUUGUCUAACUUAUGUUGUCUACUCUGUACUGAAUAUGAUGCAAUUAAUAGAAGAAAUUUUGACAGUAGGCAAGAGAUACAUACCUCGACUGAGCCAACAAAGUCUGAAAAGCCGUUUACUAUAGCAGGAUUUAUGGUGUAUUUUGCUAUGUAUCUUCUUAUACGGAAGUUGUCAUUAUCCUUGGAAGGAUCGGAGUCACCAGACCCAGGUAACCUACCUCUCUGUACUUUCAUCUUGUUUGCAGUUUGCCAUGUUCGGAUAAUCACCUAAAAAGCAAUGGUUUCAACAAAUGCAUAUAAGUAAAUCAAGUUUGAAAUCGGUUACUGGUUACUAGAGCUUACUCGUCAAGCUAAAUGUACAAGUAGAACUAAACUUGUUCGAGCCCUCCCAAACAUUUUUUUCCCGUCAUGGCUUAUCCAAGAAAAGCUAUAUUUCAUUAAAGCAGUAGCAGGAUGCAGGUGACUGGAAACCAAGCUGAGCUCCAUCCAUGUCUGAUCAGUCUAGUGGAUCCGUGUACACAACCAGAAGAAAGUGCUUCGUUAAAAGAGUGAUGUUUGCUUAUCACUCAUCAGUGCAUGUCAACACCAUUGACUUUCAUCUACAACAGAAAAAAAAAUACUUUGGUAAAAUGGGUCUAUCUAAUUCAUCCCAUGUUCACCGACUCUUGCACAUUGACUUGGUUGUUCAUUGUAUUAAUCUGACAGAUUACCACAUACAUGAAUGUUAACUGAUGGAACUAUAUAUUCAUGUUGUGAAGACAAUCAAUCAACGAACAGCACCCUAUAGGAAUGCAACCAUAGUCUGUAAUUCAUUGUUUAACAUUGGUUUUGAUGAGCAUGAAUGCAGGAUAAGCAUAUGUAACAGACCUCUCCAAUGCGACCCAUAGCCUGUGAAUCAGAUGAUAUGAUACUGAUUGCUCCCAUGUCAUGCAAGAUGUCCUCGGCCGCAAUUGUUUCUGCUCGAAUUCGUGACUCAGCAAAUGCUACAUCUUCCGGGAUGUUUUUAUCAAGGUGGUGGCAAACCAUCUACAGGAGAACCACAAUAGAUGAUGACCAAAUUCUCAAGACAUACCCAUGGCAUUGGCACAAGAUAAUUUUUUACCAGCAUAUCAAGGUGCUCAUCAACGGUGUUCGAAGUAAACGGUCGGGUUGGAUUUGUCGAAGAAGGCAACACAUUUUUCACCCCACAUACUUUUAUGAUGUCUGGGGCAUGACCACCACCUGCACCUUCGCUAUUUAUAAGACAAUGAUCCCAAUGAUUCACAUUUCCGAUAAACUUAUAAAUUCGAUAAAUAACGUUAAGGGUACUUUGCACAAUCGCAGAAAAUUGAGCCUUUCUCCGCAAUCGAUCCAUAGACAAAUAACAGUAGAUAGAAUGCGUCACUGUUUACAGUAUACUGCAUACCUGUGGUAUGUAUGUAUAGUCCUAUCUUUAAAAGCUGCAAUUGUAUGCUCCACGCAGCCUGAUUCAUUCAAUGUAUCUGUGUGGAUAUUGACCUGUCCAAUAUAGAUGAACAUCACCGUAACAAAAAAUAUGCAGGUAUACCAGCAUGAUAAGGUGAUAAUAAGACAGCCUACCUGGAUAUCAAACGCUUCUGCAACACAUAAACAGUUAUUUAUGGCAGCUGGGGUGCUUCCCCAAUCUUCGUGCAGCUUAAGACCCAUUGCUCCUGCCUUAAUGAUCUCAGGUAAUCCAUCCGGUUUCGCAGUAUUUCCCUGCAGAGUUUCUCGAGGGGAAGAGUAUUCACGAUUUGAACAAUGAUAGGAAAUAACUUUGAUGUACUCCACUUCCCAGAUUUGGGCCUGUUUUUGGAUACUCAAAUUACUGAAUUUGAGAGCGCACAGUUUUUUUAAUGAGUUUGAGCUCCCAUUUUUUUUCUCUUUUUUAGUUCAGGACAGUUGGAUUAUCGUCUCCAGUAUUUUUUCUAUAUACCAUAAAAUAAAAUGAAGGGAAAUGCUAACUACAAAGCUCUGGAAUGCUAAAGUUAAAAUCUUGAUAUAUGUCUUUUGUAGCUCUAUUCCCAAAGAAAGCUUAUACAACUAAAAGAAGUUUUGAUAUAAAGCUAAAGAUUAUUAGUCUUUGUACUGAACUUUGAAAUGUACCUUUCCUGUGAAUCCCAUAUUGAUCGGAAUUUCAUCAGUGGACUGCAACAUUAGUUUCAUUUGAGAUGGUGCAGGGGUGCAAGUUGUGGCACAAGUUCCAUGUGCUGGUCCUGUUCCACCUCCCACCAAUGUUGUUAUGCCUACAAUAAUUUAAAGAUCUCAUGAUUAUCACUGAUUAAUCCUUAUCACAUGGUACACAUAUCAAAUAAGUCAUUGAAAGCACAAAUUGGAAAUCUUAAACAGAAAACUGAUCUUUGAAACAUGUAUUGAAAGCACGAGCUCUGCCAAGAGUGUUUUGUCAGUGUUAGCACCCAUAUAUUUGAGAAAUGCAAUGAAAGUAUCAAUACUCCAAGCUCCCAACAAAUGUGACUCCCUGUCUCUGGUCUGUAGUCACUAGCAGCGAAUACACUUUUGGGGAUUCUCUCCAUUAUUAUCCCAAGAAAAGCCCAACUCGGCCAAAACAUUUGACCUCCUUUGACUUCAGGUACAACAUUCAAAUAGAAAUGAUGAUCAUGUAUGAUAGACAAAGAAACACAUGACAUUGUGGCCUUCAAAACUCGUUUUUCUUGGAUGUGACUGGGCUUUUUUCUCUUAGUAUUCAGAAUAUUUUCCUUGCUAACAGAUGUAAGGAACCUUACCACUUGCAAUUGCCUCUUCUGCCAGCUGAGGGCAUAUGAAGUGGACAUGACAAUCUAUACCACCAGCAGUUACAAUCAUACCUUGAGCAGCAAUAACUUCCGUAUUCACCUGUAAAUGAUUUAAGCAUGCAAUUUCUUUUAAAUGUACUCCAUACCCUUUUUCUUUAGUAAAACAAUAAAAAAUGCAGGUAUGCCGUUACCCCCACAAUCAUGUUGCUAUGCACACCAUCCAUGACAUCGGGGUUUCCAGCUUUCCCAAUGGCAAUAAUAAGUCCAUCUUUUAUACCAAUAUCAGCCUUGUAUAUUCCUGUAUAGUCAAUCACGACAGCAUUUGUUAUAACUGUAUCUAGGCAGGCAGAUGCUGGAUACCCUGCAGAUUGUCCCAUUCCAUCGCGAAGAACUUUCCCCCCUCCAAAUAAGCACUCGUCACCAUAAACAGCAAAGUCCUUUUCAAUCUCAGCAAAGAGAUCAGUAUCACCAAGCCUAAUCUUAUCACCAGUUGUAGGUCCGUACAUGCUACAAUAUUUCUCAUGAUCAAUACUGCAGUCUAAUGUACCAUCACCAAUAAGACCUUCGCUGCAUCGGAAGUUCAAAGGUAAACAUGUCAGCCAAAUUAAACACAGCAGGCUGAAUUUGUUCACUGGAAUUAAAUGUGAAGGAAACAACCUUGCAUCCGGAUAAUCUUCAUGUCCAAAACCAUUCUCAGUAACCUUUUUAAUUACCUCAUUAAGCUGAGAACUGUUGACAGCACCAUCAGCAAUGCCAUUUCCACCUCUAAUUACUUUUUGACCACCAAUGCUUACAAGUGUAACCCUUUUUGAAUCCCCAGGCUGGAACAUAAAUAAGGUGUCAGAUUCUAGAGGAUUUUAGAAGUAACAUGCGCGAAUAUUUGUGUGAAUAAGUAGGAUCCCAAGUACUUGAAAUGUAUUGCUAGUUUAUAUACAGAACAAAAUGCCAAAGGAUGGAUCAUAUGUAAGAACCUCAAACCGAACCGCUGUUCCAGCAGGUAUAUUCAGUCUCAUGCCAUAAGCUCUUUUUCUAUCAAAAAUCAGGUACGGAUUGGCCUCUAUGAAGUGGUAAUGACUCCCAAUCUGCAAAGUGAAACACGAUUUGGACUCUCAUAAUUACUUCCAAUAGCACCAGAUUCUAAAGGGUGGUACAUCUCCCAUCAAAAGUGUGGGAUCAUAGAACUCAAUGCAAAUUGAACUUAUUAUGUAAAGGUUCUGGAUACUACUCCCUUUGUUUCUAUUUAUAAGGCGUUUUGGCAAGCCAAAUUGACUUGCCAAAACGUCUUAUAAAUGGGAAAAGAGAGAGUAUUAGACAUGCAUUUACAUUGCGUCAAAAGGGGCAAUUGAAUCAUCACAAAAACGAGAAAGCUAUUUCCAAAGCAAAAUGAAAUAAAAUGCAAUUUUAACCUGCAAAAGGCCAGCAAAAUGUUUACACAAACUCAAGAAAGUGGGCCACAAGCCCACAACAUUAGACAGUUCCAAAAAGAGGAACAGGCGAACAGCUUGCACCCAAUCAAGAUGUCUAUAUUGAAGAAUGAAUUUUUGCAAAAGAAAUAAAGAAUAAUCUUUCCUGAAAUUUAUUUUGAGAAAAAGGAUUUUAGGAGCAUAACAUUAGUCAUAGUGUUAGAGCUAGGGAUGCAAGUUUGGACCAGGCCAACCCCCUUUGCUUGCUCAAUGUAAAGGCAUGUGUACAGAUGACACACCAAUCAAGUGCCCAGUAUUCUCAAAAGUAAAUAAAUCAAGUGCCCAGUUGCCUCCGUAGUUUAGAGCCAUUUGGCUAACUCCAUGACCUAUCAUAUUAGCUCUUAACACAUAUACACGUUCGACAUAAUGUGGUAUUACAUAGCAGCAGGUUAUGUACCGUGUCAUGAUACAGGACGAUCAAGUGUUAUGACAUUAUCCAGGAGUGAUCUUCAUUAAAAGAAUAACACUCACACAAUUGCACCAUGAUCAGUGGCAUUAAAUCUUGGAUCCAGUUGUGAAAAUAAGUUGGGGCCAAGAUCCAUCUAAUGAAACUUUAGAGAAUAAGAACUGUGAUAAGUUUGCUAUCAGACCCCAAGCAAAAAACAUUACAAGUGCUUACCUGAAUAGGUCUGUCUGCCUUGUUAACAACCUUCAGAGUUAAAGCCCUGCGAUGAAGGUUGAGGAUAAUGCGCCCAGAGCAGAAAUGUACUUCACCAGGAGAGUCGUCAGCAUCACUCCCAGAAAAUAUUUCAUGUGAAGGUACUGCAACCGUUUAAUAUUUUGUGUAAAAUAAACUUUUUAGAGGAAGAUUGCCGCAAAUACAGUAUUUUAAUAAUUGUACAAGCAUACAUUUAAAAUGUAAACUCUUAUUAGUAAACCAAGUGUAUUGAUCAGCAUUGACAACCUGGGAGAUAAGAACCAUGUAGAGCGAGCUCCAGGUUUCCAUCAUCAGAAGAAAUAGGGUCAUGUACAGUAAUUAGUUUUGUUCCAUCCAUAAAUGUUCCUUCAACCUAGAAGAAAUGGUAUAAUUGGGACAUUAUGCUAUCAAGAAUUGAUUGUCAAGCAAAAUGUUGGAGGGUAGCACCCAAGGUCUAAUAAGAGCAGUAUUAUGGUCUAGUUGUAAUCUAAGCAAAAUAAAUAAGGGUGGCAGGUCCAGAGAGAGACACAAAUAAUCCCCUCAAUGCCAUCCAGGAUACUUGGUAUGAAGUUUCCAACAGAACUUAUCUCGGGUCAGUAAGAGUUCAAGUUACGGCAUUGUAUGGCAAGUUGGACUCAUAAAGCAUAUUUUGAUUGGUUAUGCAUCUCAUCGGAAGAACUAUCUAUAUCCUUUUUUGGACUAAGGCUAUUUAUAUAUUUGGUAGAUCCAGUUGAGAAGUUGUUGUGGGUACUCAGUACCGGUAUGGCAUUCCAAAUGUAAGGCACAUCCGUAUCACACAUCAGGUAACUUAGUGUUGGACAAUGUGGCAUGAAGUCUGCAAUCGACAUUGCUAGUAUUCAGGUAAAUAACCAUACUUUAGCAUUUGAAAUUAAUUAGUUAUCUGAUUGUUUUCCGAAUUGGGCAGGUUUCCCAGAACCUGCUUAUGAACUCACGCAAUUAUUUCCCAAAUCACUACAAACCAAGGUUCAAUGAUUGGAAAAUUAAGCAAUAUCAUAUAGCAUGAGAAAAGUAUCAACCUGUACAGUGUCUAAAAGGUGUGGAACAGCUGGAAGAACUUGUCUCCUGAUAAGCAAGAAAAAAGUAAAACUAUCAGAGCUUAGGUUAUAUGCUUAUGGCACAGAAAGGACAUCACCAGGUGAAGGCAGUAACUGGUCACAAGUAUUUGCAGUACAGCAUUCUAAUUUAUUUUUUCCACAGAAGAUCAGCACAAUGACUCGUAUUCAUCCACUUGUGAAAAGGAAGUCUUAGACAAUGGUUUCUGCAAAUCAAUAGUCUUAGACAAUGGAUGUACUUGAUGAACAGAUCUGUCAUAGACCUUCCAUGUUACAAACAAGAUGUGAGCAACUACUAAGUAACGAAGGAACUGAACAAGUGGCGUCAGCUUUUGCAUAGCACAUGCAUUUUAAAUGAAAACAAUUAUAAUCUUCUUCUAUCUAUUAUUCAAUGUUGAAAAAGCUUGCUAACAUUCUGCUGCGUUUAUUAUAAACUAGCACAUCUCCAGUAACGUCAGCUUACAUUAAAUUAUUUCGGCCAGAGAAGUAACUUUAACUAAGAGAGAUCACGAGUUAAAUCAAGAAAGCAAACAUCAUGUUUAUCUUUUAUUUGGAGGCAGUUAAAAAUGACUAUGUUGCAACUUGAAGUUUUUGUACAGGAGUUCAAAAGAUCAGUUACUACACUCGGCAUAAAAACGAACCUGCCCAACAUCUGUUUUCCCAAGUCCAUCAAGUCUGUUACACUUUUGUCUCCAUCACGAACAAACUCAAGAAUCUGCGUGAAGAAGCACAGAAAGGCUUAAUUCGACCAUGGUAACUCAAAAUGGUGGAUAAAAAUGCACGUUAUGCAACAACAUGGUCUACAGUCCCAAAAAAAAGUUUGGCCACUAUUUUGGACCUUUUUUGGUAUGGGAAUUUGGGUUCUAGUCCUUCGGACACUUGAAUUUCAACUAAAUUGGGUAGCAGUCCCUAGGAUAUGAUCUCCCAGAGGCCAGAGACAGAUUCAAAUCAAACCUCCCUCUGUCCAAAAUAUUUAGUGCAGAUUAAAGCCAAAAGGAAUCACCAGAGUCCUAGCCAUGUUGAACAAACAAAACAGUGCUACCAGGAACCUGGACUGUCACGCAGUCGAUAAAUGAAGACCUCUGCAUUGCAUUCCAGGACAACUCCCUAACUCCAUGGUACUUCCAUCAGAAAAAUUACGGUGCACCACACAAUUCAUGCACCAGUCUUACAAGGACAGAAGGACUCUCUCUAUAUAUCUCCGCGACGGCCAGUGAUACGAUUCCAUUCGAAGCAAAUAACGUUUUCCGCAGCAUUUGCAUCGCACUCCCCAAAUACGUUCCCGUUAUGACAAUAUGGCAGAGGAACUACUCAUUACGUUGGUUAUGCGUGAUGGUGACGACUGGUAUGCAUCGAUGCAUCCUCACCUGCGAGGCGAUGAGCGCGACGGCCUCGGUGUAGUUGAGGCGGAGCCCGCGGGCGAGGCGCUUCUGCGCGAGGAAGCCGGCGCCGUGCAGCGCCAGCUUCUCCGCUUCCCUCGGCACCAGCUUCAUCUCUCACUCGCCAGGGGGGCCGUCCACGCGGGACCAGAGGCGGGGAGAGGAUCCGGCGGGCGGGUGGCUGCGCCGGACUUGGGGGAGCAGGCGGAAGAGGGGGGAUGGAGAGCGAGAGCCGAGAGAGGUCGUCGCCACAGAUGAUUGGUGGGGGAGGCGGGCGGAGGAGAGCAGUUCGGUUGGAUUCUUCGAUGGGUCCGACUGCCGCCGCCGGGCCCACCGCCGGGAGCAUCGGAGCUCAGCUGAGAGGGGGGAAUCUGGAUUGGAAUCACGAGCAAGCAAGCAAGUUCAGUCCGUAAGCACAAGAAAAAUAAAAGGAAAUUGGUCACAGGACACCGUUCCGUUCUGUUCCGACGUUUGCAGAAAAACACCGGAUUGCAUAUUUGUCCAUUGCCAUUAUAAUUCUGUGAUCAUUUGUCACAACACAUUGUCUGUUUCAAAACGAAAAAUUUGAUUUUUUUCAAAUGAAAUUACUAUCUUACUCUACUAACACGACAUGAUAUUCAUACACACGAAAGUCUGUACUCCUCCUUGGAAUUAAUUAUACUAUGUUUUGGUGUAUUAUAUACUCUAUAUGAGAAAAGUGGUGUAUACAACUUCAGAAAAAAAUAUACAAGAAGAGAAAUAUGUAACCAGUAUAUACCAAGUACCAUAUACUACUUUUCAGCCGUGCAACUUGACAUAUUGUUUUGGGACACAAACAGUAUAUACUUUUCAAUCAAUCAAAGAAGUAUAUCCACGAAGAAGUGUGUAUCACCAACCAAAGUAGUAUAUACUGCUUCUAAUAGAAGCAUUUGUUGCCCGUUAAAAGAUAUAGGGGUCCCAAUAUAAUAUGUCAAGAAGUUGCAAGCCUGAAAAGUAGUAUAUAGCACGUAGUAUAUACUGGCUACAUACUUCUUUUGAAUUUCUUUAACUCAGAUGGAGUAUAGAGAAAGUCAAAAAAUUUGUUUCGAAGCAAGCAGUGUGUUGUGGCAAAUGACCACGGAAUUGUAAUGGUACUUGGCAAAGACGGAAUCCGACAGUGUGUUUCGGCAAAGGCCGCAGAAUAACGGUGCCUUGUAACCAAUUUCCCCGAGAAAAAUCAGUCCUUGUCAAAGAAAACGCAGCCGCGUAAUCCUGCACAAGGCGAGUAUAUAGUGUCCGGGUAGAUUAUUUAUCGGAGUAGUAUAACUUGUUUAAAUUGUUCGGAAAAAAUUGCUUAUAAGUCGGUAAGGUGAAAUGUUUUUCUUUUGUCCUGUACUAGUGGUAAACUAAUGCUCGAGUGUGCAGUCCUCUCUAACUCUAAGUGCGACUAAACAAUGGAAGGGAAUUCUAGAAUGCAAAAACUAAGCAUCCAAGAAUUAAAAUAAAUAAAUCAAAAGGCACCAAAGUUAUUUUUAAAAUAACUUGUUUAUUUUCCCAUUUCUUGGGAUUUUUCCUUCAGUCAUUUCAACUUAUACGCUUUUUAAAAUAGAUUUUGUUAAAUAUUGUAAAGGAAACCUGUGACAUGUUCUAAGGAGACAAAGUUGAUGACCAUACAUACAGUGGUGAUGCGGCAUACAUGUGGACGGCACAUUGGGCAAAACUGUUGGGAGGAACAUAUUGCUAGGAGUUGAACAAUUUUUCAAAUUAAGAGUAAGAGGCUGAUUCUACAACUAAAUGUCUACGAUGAAUUAACCGCCUCGCCCUUCUUGUUUUUCUAGUUUCUGAAUUAGUUUCUAGGUUCCGGAAAACCACUAGCAAAAAAGAUACUUAACAAAUAUUCCUUCCGUUCCAACGAAGGGAGUAAAAGCUUAUUUUUAAAACAUUUUUUUAUGGCUCAGCCAAUUUCAUAGCCUCUUUGAUCCAUACGAAUAUGGGACAAUCCUAAUCUUAAGGAAAAUUUCCUAUAUAGCUUGUUUAAUUUACGAGAUUUGAAACCAUAAGUUUGUCUUUCUACAGACUAUUUUGUAUUGUAUACAAUUCGAAAAGAGUUCAUUUCAUAAAGGUCCAACCUAAUGGGAUUUGUUUUGUUUUGUUUCGGUGACAAAUAGGGCUUACCUGAUCCUUCAAGUAACUUUAUGAAUUUUGGAAUUUUUGCAACGAUGCAAUCAAACAAACUCUUCUGCACAAUUCAGCAGCCCCGACCUGAGAUCCCCCGCGCUCGUUCUUUCUCGCCGCUCCAUGUCCCCGACCCGAUUAGGGUUCGAGCCGCCGCCUCCCGUCCAGAACGCCGGUGCCACCGGUCUCCGCAACCUCUCCAGCACCGCCCCGGCCCUAAAACCCGGUGUCGCAGGGCCCGCCCUCAGCGACCAGCGAAGCAGAGGCCCGCCAGCGACCAACUCAAGCCUCCUCCUCAUCCAUGGGCGAAGGACAAAAAAUUGUUUAGGUAGGGCGAUUCGUAGAACAUACAUAUAACAUUUAAUAUUUAUAUUUUAUAAUUGCAAAUUGUAUUUUAAUGUUCGUUGUUUGUAUUUUUAUUAAUUCUUAUAACAUUUUGUUUUUAAUAUUCAAUAUUUCAAUAGAUUUCAUGCAAAAAAAAUGUCGCAUCGUAUACAGGUAUAAACUAUCAAGUGUGUAAUAAUCUUAAUGCGUAUUUUUUUCUAAUAAUCCAAUGUUUCAAGUAAGCAUAAAUACAUGGAGAUGAAUUAUGAAGUUAGGUCUUUACAAGAGUAAAUAUAUAGUUAUAUUUUUCUCCAGAAACAUCUACAUACUUAUAUACUUAACAAAAUAGAUAUUCGGGUUUGUUAUACCCAAGUUGCAUGAUUUUUAGUUAGAGAUAAGUUGAUUGUUCAGCCGUUGGAUCUAGAUUGUGUUUUAAAAUUCGCAGCGAAAGGCAAAUGAGUGACUUUGAUACUAUCGACCAAGAAUUAAAUCUUUUACUUAAAAAAUCAGGCACCUGAGAUAUGGACACACCCAUAGAUAUUUGGCAAAAUAAACAGGGUAAAUUUCAAGAAACCACGGUUUUGGGGGCCCGUAUCAACUGGCCACAAACUUUUUACAUCACAUGAAUUAUUAAACUACCUUUUCUCAGUCAGGCCUAGGUGGGAGCUCUCGGCUCAUUUAUCUCUCACGUUUUUUUUUGUUUUUGUUUUUUAGAACAACGAUCUGACUUUGUUUAUUCAAGGAACAAAAUAAAACUGAUCGAAAAAUUAAGACAACAACAAAGAUUUUGGAUAAACCGAAAAUUAUAACAAAAAUCUUUAAAGCCAAGUUUUCUAGCCGCGCCGAUCGCAUUUUGAUAUUUCUCCAAAUCUCUGGUGACAAAACAGUAGAAGACCAAACCUGCAUAAGUUGUACUAACCUUGUAUGUUUUACUGAGCCGCCCAACCCAGCGGAUGAGAACUUAAGAUCGUUGAACGCGCGGUUGGCCUGGGCACACCCCUCGCAAGACAGGUUGUCGAACCAUUGAAUCAUAGCCGAACCGAUAAGAAAGAUGAUCAAAAUCAUGAAAUUACGAGCCAUGGGAUCCACAAACUCUAUGGAGUAGAUCAUGAUAGCCAUGCCGGAACGGGGAUGAAGCCGAAAGACCAUUAAUCCAAGCGUCGUUGCAUCCACCGUUAGGUGCUGCCAUCAAAAACACACAAAACCUUACAAAGAAGGUACUAAAAUGAUACCAGAUGUUUGAUCCGUAGUUCCUCUCAGCUCCUGGUCGCAAACGAGAUAUUUUUUGGUCGCAAACGAGAUAUUUUUUUCUCGGACGGCUAGGGUUUCACGCUGAGGAAAAGAGGACACUGUAUUUUUUCCUUUUCUUUGCUUUGCUUGGCAACCUUCCCUGCCCUGGCCCAUCUCGCCGCCGAGCGCCCCGACGGCCCAACCACGUAGCUCCUUGCCUUCCUACUCGAGCGAGCGCCGCCACCGCCUGCCGAGCGCCCGAGUCCCCUUGCUCCGUCGCUCGUCUUCCUCCUCGUGCGAGCGCCUCCACCGCAGAUAUCUAUCUCCCCUGCAAUUCUCUCGUCCCCGACCGUUUCUCCUCCCAUCACCCCACGAACAGAUCCCGCCCUUUAGCUUCCCGUUGCAUCUCCUUAAUCUUCCCCAAUUCGUAACUGAGGCAAAAAUCUACCUUGCCCUACCGGGUCCUCCGCCCUUGUCCUCAUCUGCGCGAGCGAAGCAACUCGCCGCCGACGAGCUUCGCCGGCCGCCGGGCAUUUACCAUGGCACUCGUGGUGAUGUGUGGGCAGCCAUGCAGCGGCAAGUCAGAGGCUGCGGCUUGUCUCGCUGCAUCUCUCCGCUCUUCCGCCGCUGAUGUCACUGUCCGUGUCAUUGACGAAUCAUCGCUCCAUCUUGGACGCAAUGAUAGCUACAAAGGUAUCGUCGGUUUCUAUUCUGCAUGUUUUGUCUAUGCUGCUAUUCGUUUUAAUUUUAUUUUACCAUGUACUAAUUUCUUUUUACCAAUUUUCUUUUCAUUGCUUAGAUAUGGUUGUGGAGAAAAACUUAAGAGGAGUUCUUAGAUCAGAAGUUGAUAGGUCCGUGUCACGGGACAGCAUAAUCAUAGUGGAUUCUCUGAACAAUAUUAAGGUGAGGGCAGUGCUUAUUCCUUCGUUCUGUUGUUGCAACUUGCAAUGACUAGUCCAUUCUCAAUUACUGACAGAAGAUAAAACUAGUGCUGUAUGGUCAUAAUCUUUAUCUAUUCUAUUGUUGUACUUGGUACAGUGUGAUCAGGGAAAGACUGGCUGCUAACCACUAACUACCAGUUUUGUGAAAUCGUGUUGGCCUCCUCCCUGUGCAACAAUUUCCCAAGCUGCUCAAAUUCAACAAUUUACAAUAAAAAUUCACCGUGUUCCAAAUGAAAAUUUUAAGUUUGGUUUUUCUGGUGUUGUUUGAGCGGUUACCGUGGUUACUGUCUGGUAUCUGCGAAACAGUCUGAGGCUCCACAUAAAUGGUCCUCUGAGCUUAUAGGCCACAUCGACUCUAAUGUCAAGUGUAAUACGAACCAUGAAGUGGAUUCUGCUAUUUGUGAUGUGUUCCUUUACAUGUGUGACGAUUUCAUCUAUAAUAUGCAGGGGUACCGGUAUGAGCUGUGGUGUCUUGCACGUGCUUCGGGAAUAAGAUAUUGUGUGGUAUUCACUUGAUGUCUUUUUUAUUUAAAGUUAAUUCCAUUUCAUCAAAAUAUUUGUACACUUGUAUUAGCAUAGCAUAAUUAAAAUAAACAUGAUGCAUGUGUUCUGAAAGUACUACCUUUUGUUAGUACUGAAGUCAGGUAUAAAAACAAUCUGGCGAGUGGAGACAAUCAGAUGAAUAUCAAUGCAGCAUAAGAUGAGAGCUAAGAUGAGUAACUGGAUGUGAUUCUUGAACUGUGAAGACCCACAGACAUUAGAAUGUCAAUUUGAGAAAUGAAGUAUAGUACAAUAGAUAAUUUUAUAUGAGAAAUUGGAGGGAAGGGAAUAGACAUCUGAGUUUACCUGAUUUGACUUUUGGCACAGACUUGAGUAGAAGAGCAGGGUAGCUGUUCAGUUUUGUCCACAGAUCUGGUUACCACAUGUAGGCAGAUAUUCUACAGGCAAGCGAAACUCCUUUUCGAACUGGCCUUAAAAAAUAAGAUAGCAUUAGCAAAGUGAUGUUACUAGAGUUUUCUUUAUUACAUAAAAAUCAUGAUUUGCAAACCAUGAUUACAUCCUACAUGAAGGAUCGUCUUGCAGAAGGGCACUUGCAGAAACAAGCUUUUGCACCAUUUCAUAUUGUAAAUGAUAUUAAUAGAAAGUAAUUUCCUUCAUAUUUCAUCUUUUAUGUUUCAGUUCUUUUGUGAUACAGAAGUGGACCAUUGUAGGGAAUGGAACGGCAAGCGUCAGGAGAAAGGAGAACCCUCAUAUGAUAGUAAUAUGUAAGUAAGAUGCUGUGGCUCUUGUUGACAUGUUGUUUGCACAAUAUAAUACUACCUCUGAUGAAUUAAUGUAUGAGGUAGGGGCUGCACGUUACUUUUUAUUUGAUUUCAAAUUACAGAUAUGUUACAUAUAGUUGCCAUUCUUGUUUCAAAUCACUGAAAAUAUUUGAUAGCCUAUGGAAGCCUUUGUUAUUGUAUUGGGGAGGGAAUUGCACAAACCACCCAUCAUUGGGAGGGUUGUUGCGCAAAACACCUACUAUUCGUCUUUUUUGCGCAAAACACUUACUAUUCAUCUAAUCCGUUGCACAUAAGUCCUAACCCAAGUUUCAGCAUGUUAACGACGUUUCUGACUGUGGGACCCACCCGUCAGUGCCAACAUGCCAGCCUGGGCUUGCCUGCAUGUAGCGAGUCGAUGCCGAUCGCCUUGCCUAGAGCUUCGGCGGCGGCUCACGCGGGGCAGAGCGCGUGGCGGCUGGCCACGCGGGUGAGAGCGUCAGCGGCGUGCACGUGCCAAGGCGACGACAGCGCCUGUGCGAGGGCGGGAACGGCGGCUGGUCCCGAGGGCCAUGGCGACGAAGGCUUCAAAGCACGGUGGGCACGCGGGCGGGCUGGGCAAGCCAUCGGCAUACCGAAGCUGGGCAAGGCCAUUGGCAUCACCCCGAUCUACGCUGGCAAGCACAGACUGUCAUGUUGGCACUGAUGGGUGGGCCGCACCGGUCAGAAACGUCAUUAGCGUGCUGAAAUUGGGGUUAGGACUUAUGUGCAACGGAUUAGACGAAUAGUAGGUGUUUUUCGCAAAAAAUACGAAUAGUAGGUGUUUUGCAACAACCCUCCCAAUGAUGGGUGGUUUGUGCAAUUUCCUCUUGUAUUGGGUUAUGGGGAAAUAGUUGAUCACUUAUUCUCCAUUUGUGACCUCUUCUAUUGCGUCAGAUUUGAAGAUCUGGUAAGGAGAUUCGAGAGGCCAGAUAGGCGCAGCCGCUGGGACUCCCCCCUUUAUGAGUUAGUUCCAUUUAGAGGUAAUCAAAUUGUUGAUGUUUGUCUAAUUAGUUUCAUUUUCACGGUAUGCGUUCUUGAACCAGUACAUAAUUGUUCAUGUUCUAUCAUAUAUAUCCAGUCCCUUAUGCACUCCCAGCAUAGUAAAUGUUCUGCUCGUAUCUUCUUUGCACUUAUUCCAAACUCUACUGGCUGAACCUCGAAAUUAUUGCUCGUUAUUGUCUAGCCCUCGUAGAACAGCUGUGCAGGUGGUUAGUCACUUUAGUUGGAUGGGUUAGUUUUAAAUGUGUUAUUUAAAACAUGGAAACUUGCUGGUUUCUAGGCACAAUCCUUCUUCUCCAGUUCCGGAUUGGUUGCACUUGCAUGGGGUAACCUAUUAGGACUUGGUAGUUCAGUACCACCAAGAAAAGGGAACUUAUAUUUACCUAAUGUCUACUUUCAUAAAUGCUCAUCCUCUUCUUCCUUUACUUCCGUGACUCAUCAUGCCACUUGAUCAAUCAUUCAAUCUCACAAUCUGUUUUGUUUACUGUUUUCAAUAGAUGGAGUAGUGGAAUUGUCUCCUGUUAUUGCUGAGGCUGUAUCAUAUUUGACUAAGAAAUUGGAUUCAAAAACAAGAGAUGUAAAAGUUCUCCAACCAACAAUAGCCACUCAGUCUGUAAGUAAAAUAUACUUUUUCUAACAAAGGAGUUCUUAGUACAUCAUUGAUUGACUGCAAGUCUGCAACUGCAUGAUUUUCUAAUCCCCAUGCACAAUAUGUUCCAGGGUUAUUUGGUGCUCUCUUAAUGCCUGUGUAAAUUUAGUCUGUUACUAAAAUAUAUUGCAGACUGAUAAAAAGAACAUAUCAAUUAAUUGUGUUUGGUUCAUAUGCUUGUUUUGAUGUUACACUGUGUCAAACAAAUUAUGUAAAAGAAAAUAUCAAUUAAUUGUGUUUGGUUCAUAUGCUUGUUUUGAUGUUACACUGUGUCAAACAAAUUAUGUAAAAACUGAUGGUGUGAAUGCAAAAAUAGUUAACAUUCUUCUAGUAAUACGCAAAUACUGUUUACUUCCAACCUGGAUAGUGUCGUCAGUGCAACUCUUCCAUCCAUAGUACUUCUUGUAGAUCUGACUUGCUAUUUCAGGUACGGACAACUGAGGCUAAUUCACUCUAUGAGAUGGACAAAGCAACUCAGGUAAUGACAAAUGGCAGUUGACUUGAUUCAUACUUCAUAUUGUCUUCUGAAAUGUGUCUACUUCUAGAAAACCUGCAAGACUGAUACGAGCUGUACUUUGCAGGAGGUGGUCAGUGCAAUCGUUGAGGCGCAAUCUUGUGGUCUUGGCCUUGCGGUGAAUAAGCUUUCUCUUGGGCCUAACUUGCCAACUAUAUCCUCGACUGUUUGAGACAAGACAAUAUUUUAGUAAUUAUAUCACUGCUAGAGUUAUAAAUAAAAAACUCCUAUUGGGCAUCCGUAGUUAUGUUGAAAAUGUGCGUAUGCAUACUGAUUCUUUUCCCAAACUUGCACAUGACAAUAUAUUACAUUUACUAUGGCGAUCUAGGAAUCAUAGCAACUUCCUGAUUCAAAAUAACCUUCUGAUAUCAUACACACCUUGUGCUCUGUACACAGAUGUCACAUAUAGAGGUUUGUAUGUGCAUACCACUUCUUCUUUUCGAACCUGCAAAUGGCUCCAAGCAUCAAUCAGGCCUAAACUCCGUGGGUGCUAAUUUUCUGUCGACAUGGUCUCGAUUUCAGAUUUGAUUCACAAUUUUUGGACAUAAGGUGAAUAUCAAAGCUUAAGGGUGUGCAUUUUGCCUUUAAUACGUAUAAUAUGUAAUCAAGACACACAAUUGCUGCCACCCUUGGAUGUUAUUGUUGAGUUGUGGGAUCCUUAACUGUCUGUUACAUUAAUCUUCAAAGAUCAGUUGGCCUACCUGAGCUACGAAGCCUCCGGCGCACUUUCAUCAAGCUGGCAGGGCAGUACAGCUUAAGUGGACCACCCCCACCAACAGAUGCUGAUAGUGCGAAGAGGAUGUUUGUAGACUAUUUAAACCGAGAAAUCGGUGCUUGAUGGUUUCUUCAUCUCAUGAGUUAAUCCUGCUGAUGAUGUGCUUCCCAAGGGACAACAUACUCUGAGCAAAAGCACUAGGAGCCCUGCAGUGUUUUCUCCUGCCAUGCUCCUCAUCAGGCUUUUGUGGUGGCUAAAUAGAUAGUUUGCUUCACCCGAACUUCUACACAACUAUUCAGAAAUGUUAGCACACUAUAACUUCCAUAUUGCAACAUGUAAACUACAUAAUUUGGAAGUAUUACUGAAUUGUUUAUGUGACAACAAAUUUGGGAUUUGCUCAGAAUUUGAUCGGCUUGUUUUGUGUUGCAUUUCAUCUGUUCUUUGAUCGUUGCAGAAACCGCAAGAUUGUAUAACAAUCAAUUUAGAGUCCCAUGGAAGGUUCCUUGGCCUCCAGCGUAAGUUUACCAUGCCUAAAUUUAGGCGUGCCAUAGUUUUUCAUGCAACAGUCAUAGAUUUCGAAUACUUGGUAUGAAAUAUAUCCAAACAGAUGUCUAACAAAAAACACAUUCAUUUUGCUACUGGGAAUUUUCAGAACAUUUCUAUUUGGAGAACUUCUCUUAACGGAUCACUUCCACUUAGAAAACUGUGAUCAAUGCUAGCCUUUUGUUCAUACAACCCUAGCUUACAUGUUAUCCUAGUAGAACCAUCUCAUUAACCGGCACACGCGGUUCUCUUCAUCCUUGGAAUCAGUCAUCGCCAUCAUCAUCACCCUGGUUUCCCCGGGAAGCACCUUGGAUCAUUUCAUCAUCAACUCCUACAAAAGAUUUUUUUAAUGUUUAAGAUUUAACAUCACCACGGAUAAACUAGAACGAAGGAGGAUGUACCUUCGAUGAAGGACUCAAAUUCAUCAUCUCCAGGUCCUGUUGCUGUUGGUGCCACCCCGUUGACUGGUUGACUAAUCUCCAUCCAGUUUGGCUGCUCCUCCGGUCCCGAAAACAGUGAAGGUCUAUCCACAACCCAAUCAUCAACUAUGUCUAUAUUGUCUACUGAGACAGGAUCAAAUGCCUUAACCUUGCUUUGUUGCCUAUGAACAGUUGUAAAUCAAGUCACUUGUUACAUCCAUACUUUGCUGGGUUUUUUUUUCCUUCAGAAUAACAUGUCGAUAACAAUCAAUGGAAAGGUUCUACGCAACAAGUUUGAUUACCUGUGUUGUAGCCGUAGGUUGUAUUGAACAAAGGUGAGGUAAUGCAUGCGUUGGCGUUCAAAAAUACUCAUUCUUGGGUCAUGGAUUUGUUCAAAGGGAAUGUGUGUCUGAUCACAUCCUUUAGCACUGCAGGUUUGGCUGAGGAUACGUACUGCUAAACGUGUUAAAUUUGGGCAAGAUCCUCCGUACAUAUACCACCAUUCAGCUGCAAGUCAACACAAUAAUAUGUUGAGACAAACCAUAACUUAUAAGUUAAUGUUUUCACGUCCUAGGGUCAAAGAAUGCAUAAUGCUAACAAUGUCAAUCAGUAUUGAAGAAUAAUGCACCUAUAAUAUCAUGGAAGGUUGAUCCAGAAACCCGACAAAUGUACCUCAUGCUUAAAAGGAUGCUAUAGUGAGCAACUCGGUAUCGAGUGAGCGAGUACAAAACAAUCUGUGUAGUACUAACCAGGUGGUAAAGUUCGUCUGGCUCGGAUGGCCAUUUGCCUACGAAAAUCCCCUGCUGCCUCGCUCCGGUACAUAUUGAGCUCCUUCUGAAUUUUAUCUUGGAUUUUGACAUCAGACACCAGUCUUUCUAUGCAAUCUAGCAUUCCUGAGAAAAUCUCAUUCGAUACAUUAGCUCGAAUUCCAUCAAAAAAUAGUGGAUUCAGGAAGAAUCCAGCUGAAUGAAGUGGCCGCUGCACGUGAUUGUCCCAUCUCCAGUCAAUAAUAUUCCAGUAAGCCAUGUAGUCGCUUUUCAUCACCAGCUCUUUCUUGAUUGUUACUUUUGCUUGGUAUAAUCCAGCAUAAACAUACCCCAUUGCAGGUCUCUUGUUGCUGCCAACUAGCUUAAGAAGAUGUAUAAGUGGUUCGGUGAUGCGAACAACCGCAGCACAAGAAGACCAAAAUUGCAAAUUACUAACGAUAUUGCUCACUUCGACCCCUUCAGGUUUCUUUGGCAGCAGGCAGUGUAUCCAUUCAUCUGAACUGACCAUGGCUUGCAAAGCGUCCUUCAGACUGUACAUGUUCUUGAGCGUGACGAAGUUCAUAGCAGCACGAGUCUCUGCAGGAACUAGCAGAUCCUUCCCAUGCAGAUGCUUAUUCAUCAAACUCAAUGCAAGUGCACUGUUGUAAAUAAAUCCAGUGAUGGCUUUCGCAUUGCUUAUCAUCUCACUAAUUGCCGGCACCUUGCUAAAAUCUUCAAGCAUACCAUCAAUGCACAGGUAAGUGCAUGGAGACCAGAACAAUGUAGGAAACAUUUCGCCUAGCCUUUCUCCUGCCGCUGCAUGAACCUCAGAGUUCUUUGUGAUUACUUGGACAACAUUUUUCUCCCCAAGCUCCUCAACAACGCUCUUCAGUAGCUCACACAGCAUAUCUGGCGAUGCAACAAUGUCUGUUGCAUCGACCGAUUUCAGAAACAUAGUGCCUUCUGGGCAAUACACUGACAAGUUCAUCAAGGUCCUGCCUUUAUCAGUCAUCCACUCAUCAGCCAACAGCGAGCACCCCGUCCGGGCCCAUGACCGCUUGUAGAACUCAACCUGGGCCAUCACUUCGUCCAGCGACUUCUUCAGAAUGCAGCCUCGGAAGUCAUGGUAAGAGAGCACCUCAGGCCUCCCUCGCACAGCCGCGAUAGCGUCGACCAUCGGCUGGAAAUGAACGGAAUUCACUGCCUCCAAUGGCACACCGGCAUCGUACAAGAACCUCCCGACUGCCAUGCAAACCUGCUCCUUCUCUGAGCCGGUUGGAUUGAAAUGCGUCGACGACGAUAGUGCGGCUGCGUCAAGCGCCAUGACAGUCUGAUGAUGAGGCUGAUGCGUCUGAGCAGCAGAAGGAGUUGUAGCAGGCUGGAGAGGCUGCUGGGCAAACUGAUGCGUCUGUGCAGCAGGAGGGGUUGUAGCAGGCUGGAGAGGCUGCUGGGCAAGAGGAGGAGCGCUCAAGGCGUGCCUCACCGCCACCGUCUUCUUCCUCUUCUUACUAGCAGUAGCAGUAGCAGCAGCAUUAGCAUUACUCUCCCUCGUCUCCAACGGCGGCGUGUCCUCGACGGGCACCUGGUUGAGCGUGAACAUGUUGACGGGGCUGCUGACCCCCAUCUCGGCGCCGCUGCCGUUGGAGGGCGAAGAAUCUAGCACGCCAGCGAUCUGCUGCUGCCGCCUGCCGUCGGCGAGGAACUUCUUGCGCUGCUUCUUGGCGGCGACCUCCUCGAGGCUGCGGACCAUGACGUCCUCGACCUCGGCGGGGACCUUGGGGCAGAGGCAGGCGUUGCCGGGGCGGCGCGCGAGGUGCUCCUUGAAGCGGUGGAUGCCGCCGCCGAGGAAGUGCUUGCCGCAGUAGGCGCACUUGAGCCGCACCCGCCCCGCCGACCGCACCAUCACGCAGUGCUGCCACGCCGGGUCGUGCUUCUGCGCGCCCACCGGCACUAUCACCUCCGCCGCCCCCGCCGCCGCCUCCGGGGUCUCCAUCCUCCGAGUCCUCCUCCCGCACUGCGUCAGCCAUCAUCGCCAGUUAGCUGCUGUCACUGACAGCUUAGAUCCCGGAUUAUUUGCUCCCGAACGAAUUAAUCCCACCAAUUUAGCCGUGGGGAAUAAACCUAAGCGGGCGGAUUAAACCAGGAGCGGAGAAGAAGAAGAGGAGAGAAAAAAACUCACCGGUUUUUCGGCGAAUCGGGGGCACGGAAUCGGCGGAAACCUAGCCGGCGCGACCCGGUGGAGAUGCCGAGGGAGAGAGGAAAAACCAGGGGAGGGGGCAGAGAGAGAGAUGAAACGGCUCGGUCUAAUGGGGCGGGCCGGUUCUCGCGCUGGUUUGGUCCGGGUCGGUUGGGCUCUACGGCUGGCGGGGAUGCACCUGGCUAGGUGGGCUGAAUGUUGGGCCGGUUCGUGAACAGAACCUCCCGGUUUUGUUGCGUCUCUAUCAAUCUAAAAAAAUCUAUUUUAGACUGUACAGGUUUAAUUACCUUCCAGUAUUUUGGAUCCUUUUCGCCUUGGUAGCUAACUGGAACAAGUAAAAGCCAACAGUAUAUUUUUGUGAUCUUAUUACUUGCCAAUGUACUAACACUUUGCAAUAAUAUGCGUGCAUUGACCAAUGCAACAGAGGUUUAUCCUCCUUAUCGGACAAAAAAGAAGCCAACAACAUAUUGUUUGUACCAACAUAUUGUUUCUCUUUUCCUCGGUUCUGUCUAGAUCAUGCACAACAACAAAUUAACCUCCCUCUAAGGCUACCAAAAUUCAUGCAUUGACAAAUUAACCUCGCUCUAAACCACCUAGAGAGGGUUCACGCUGUAGUACAACCCUACAGCGCGAACCCGCUUCCUCCUGGAGUAGCAUGUAAUAUUCCUGUGGUUUUGAAAUGUACGAUUGCCGUUAGAAACGAGGGUAAGGCCUGCUGCACAUGAACACCGAGUUAGUACCAAUUGCAAAAUGGCUGUACAGCUCCAAACACUGCGCUGUUAAUAGGCACCGUGGUCUAGCUGAGCCCAAGUUCUUUUUUUAGCUGCUCAAGGACAGCCUCUAUGUCAGACAUGCCAUCAUCAGAGCUGUUUGUUGUUGCAUUGUCGCCCCGAGAACCACCGCUUUUCCCUCCAAACUGCGUGUAUGAAUCAUUUGAAUUGUCUUCCUCGGGACUAGAGUCUUCGAUCUUCAGUUCGUUCUCUAGAAACUCGACAAAUUCCUCGCCAAUUGCCUGAUUGAGCAAAAUGCAAGAGAAAGUUUAUACAAGGUUUAACAUCCAGCAUAAUUACUAGAUGUGGCAUUAUCUGUGUUCUAAAUUCUACUCACUCUGAUGCUAAAUUCUUCUAAUUAAAACCAAGACAAGAAUUUAGGAUCGGAGGGAGUAAUACCAAGUGGUUAUUCUUUUUUUUUUUUCCUAAGUGGUUGGAAUUACAACGAGCAACAGAAGUAGAGUAUAGAUCAACUUACUGAUAAUUCUUCCCACAAGCUUUUAGGUUUCUGGUCUGAAUUCAGGCUAGCUUCCCAGUUCUGAAAUUCCUCUUGCAGAUCUUUAAGGAAAUCCGCUGCAAAAUCAGAUUCAGGAUCACAGCGGUGUCAACAAAAUGGACAUUUUGUGAUUCUUCUAUCUGCAUAACUAUCUGACCUAUCAGCAAAAUCAAACAAGGAAAACUGCAAAAGAAUAUUGAAGUCUGCAAGAGGAAACUGCAAUGAAAUGGCACCGGCACUAAUCAAACUGCACCACCGUAGUACCGAUGAUCAACAACGGAUGAAACAUCUAUUCACAUACUGGCAUAAAUUCUCCAGCCCCAUCACAUAGUAGUUUAUUACUAGAGCAGAAGAGGAGAGGUUUCAGUACCAAACCCGUAGAAUUGCUCUUCUUCUGCUGCAGCGUCAGCUGAUUUACUGCUCCGGGAUGCCCAAGAUGACGAAUCCGUGCCGCUGCCGCUGCUGGCGUACUUGGACCGGCUCUCCGAGUUCAUCAGCGUGUUGUACGCGUGCUUGAUCCGAAGGAACUUCUCCUGCGCGUUCGCCUGCACUUGGAAAUUAGCCGGAGCUCGUCACGGACGCGCAAGACUAACAAAUCUCCAAGAGGGGAAGCAAACAAUGAAGCGGAAAGAGUAUGGAGCACCAGAGCGGCAAUUAAUCGGCACGCACCUCCUUGUUGACGUCCGGGUGGUACUUGAGCGCGAGCCGCCGGUACGCGCGCUUGAUGUCGGCGGGCGCGGCGGACGGCGGCAGGCCGAGCACCUCGUACGGGGACUCCCUCCUCCGCCCGCCGCCGGCUCCCGCGCGGACCCGCACGCACGACCGUCGCGUCCGCGGAAACGAGGAGGAGGAGGAGGAGGAGCUGGAGAGGAGGGGAGCGACGGCGCGGAGGCGGAGGCGGAGGAGAUUCUGCGGCGGCGGAGCGGGGCGGCGGGGGUGUUGUGAGAGAGGGAGUUGGGGACGUGGUGCGGUGGCCUGGACCGGCGGCGGCAUGGCGCGACCGGGGGAGACACCGGCCACACGGGAUGGGGGUUGCUGGAGACACGCGGCCGGCUACUUCGAAUGGCUCCCGACGAGCCUACGACUGGAGCACAGGCAGCAGAGCAUCCGCUGUUCAGAUCGAAGUGAGCCGUAUAGGUCAUGAUCGGACGGCCAUGGGUUUUUUUUUAGGGACGGACGGCCAUGGUUUGUUUAAGCUGACGUCUAGCGAUGACUAACAGAGCUGAUGACGACUAGCUGAAGUUCAUCACUCAUCAUUCUGACAAAAAUUAAGCUUUCAUUUUUCUUUUCUUUUUGAAGUGGACUUUGCUUUUGGUUUCAGAGCAUCUGCAUUCCAUGGUUGCUGGGGCAAAUAUGUCAGAUUGAACAAGCAUCUAACCAUCUGAGCAAGGUUAAGAAAAGCAGAGCAAUAAUAAUACAAGCAUCUGCCAGAACCGUACAGGCAAACGCUAAAAUGAAAACGCAGAGCUGAUCAGCGUCAUACAACCACCGUAGCAUAUAAGGUUGUACAUGCAAAAUCAUCCAAAUCCUACCAUGCCUGGUCUUCAGCCUUCCAGAAUACCCCUACUGGCCACUACGAGGUCGAACUGGAGCUGGAUGACGUUCAUGGGCCUAGCAGCAAGGGUGGAUCCUUCUUCCCACUGCCGGAGUCAGAACCUUCGGACGAGACCGCAGCAAAUGCGCGGAGUGGUGGCUCGAACAUCUUCCCGGCAACAUCUGGUGGCGGCUGUUGGGGCGCAUCCUCUCCGGGGAGCACCACGAGGCCCUUCUCUCUGAGAGACGAUGGCUCGUUGUAGCACUCCUUCCAGAGAGAGUCGACGAGUUGCCGCUCCUCACGGGCUGCAUGGAGGUCAUCAGCGUCCAUUGAGCUGAUGCCUUCGAUCCGGCUCCUGAGGACAUCUUUCAGCUUGUCUUGAUCAGGUAGGGUGUUGCCAGCAGCGGGUGUCUUGUCCCGUGCCAGCUGAAGGAGACCGCCUAAGGCGGCCUCUCGAACUCCAGCAUCGUCGCUGGAGGCGAGGUGCAUCAUUAGAUUUGGGAGACCAAGCUCUGUAGCAACGCUCCUAUCCGCCUUGUUGUCUAACAGGUAUUGCAUGAGAUGUAGAGCUUUCCUGGAAUGAUACAUACAACAUUGUUAUGGAAAUUUUAGGAAGACAAUUCAAAUAGCAGUGGAAAUUCCAAAUCAAAGCGGAAAAGUCCAAAAUUCAACACGAAAACAUCAGCAAGACCAAAUCAUGUGGCUACGUGGCUUCACAUCUAGAAGAGUGGAUGUGUUGAUUACUUGAUUCACAUGUUAGCAUAUUUAUUCAUAGCACCAAGAUUCCUGAAUACAAAUUUCAGUGAAGUGCCCAUGUGUAGAAUAGAGAAGCUAGUUGCCCCCAGAUCCGCUGCAUGCAAAUAUUGUGCUAAUAAAACAACCAAAUAAUCAGAAGGAAAGAGGAGCAGAUGUUGCAUGAUUUGGAUGAACAAUCCUCCACAGCUAUUCAUUUUGUACUAACAAGAGUAGAUAUGCAAAGCUCAUGUUUGUUGCAUAAGGAAAAAUCAUCCAAGUUGUUCCUGAAUAUAAUUUCCUGCUUGCUCGGUGAGUGAAUUGCUAUAAGAUAUAAUCUACUGGAAUUGAGGUUUAGUAUAUCUAUCUGGUGCAUAGAUGUUCACUUAUGAUAUGGUGUGUCAUAGAUGUUCCAGAUAUCAAACAACAUACCUCUGAAGUCUAGCAUCAUCAGAACCAAGAGCAUCUUUCAGUGCAGCAUAGCCAUUUCCUAGGCAAAAGGCAGCAAGUCCAGGUUGGUUAUUACGAACCAGAGCUGCAACAUGAUGAAAUGAUAUCUAUGAUUAGCUUGAAAAACACUAUAUGCAACUUCUUGCAUGAGAUUGUUUUGUCAUAUAUAGAAUGCCUUAAUACGACAAGAAGAAGAAAUGACUUACAAGAUAUUGCUCCAAGAGCUUUUGUGCGGGCAGUUGUGCUAGGAUCAGAUUUGAAGUUUGUCAACAGUGGCUCCAGUCCAUUAGAUUCCAUGACAAGCUGCUGACUUUUCGGAUUAUUUUGCACAAUUGUACUCACAACUUCUGCUGCCUUUGCUCGGAUGCCAGCAUGUGAAUUUUUCAAGUAACCAAGUAGAGGAUCUAAUCCACCAAUAGAAUGGAGAUCUGCAUGGACAAUUUGUCAAUGGUUAACCACAAAAUAACCAUUUAUAAGCAGAAAAAUUGAUAGAUUCAACCAUGGUCUUUACCAUUUGCCAUAUCAAUCGACUCCACAUGCUCUUGUAACUCAUCCAACAUAUCUGGGCACAGAGUUAGAAAAUGACUUGGCACUCAUAGCUCAAUGAAAUUCACCAUUUAACAAGCAUAUACACAUCAGAAUCGACAAUCUAGUGUAAAAAGGUCCAAAUAAUCACCAUGUAAAGCAUAACAAUUCAAGGUGUUUGAAAUAUUUUAUUGAGCUAUCAUAUCCUUCGGACAUAUAUAUACCAUGAAAUUAAACUAAGGCGUAUCAUCAUGUCCUUGAUCCUAGUUACAAUACUGAAGCAAGAAAUAUUUGCAUGUUGUCAAGCACAUGAAGAGGUAACAAUGCACUCAAAGUACUCUACAGUUAUGAAAAUGCUCUCAGAUGUGCGCCAGCAGGUAAACAACGUUAGAUAUCAAACUACGUAAAAUGAACUUAUUGUAACAGCUAUAGGUAGCAGCAAGGAAGUGAAAGCAUGAUAUGUGAUGUCUUGGUCUGCAUAGGAACACUCGAAAGAGUACCUUCAAUGUUCUCUGGAGUCACACCAUGAGACUGCAACACAUCGUCAGGGGUCUUCAUCACCUGGGUGAUCUCUUUCAUCCUGCUGACAACAUCGAUCGUAUUCGCCUGCAUUGCCUCCAUAAACCAUUUCCUGUCCUCCUCGCUGCAAACCGAAAUCAAGUGAACUAUUAAUUACAGGAGGAAUGCUCGGCCACACAAGAUGUUUUUCGGCCGCUUCGAACUGAAUAAUUUUGACGGCUCCCAAACAAGUGAAGAAACGAUGAAGGCUUGACCAGAACAUUGGCUUCUUGUAGAUCAACAAAAUUAACGAUUUACUGACAAGGCUGUUACUGCAGCUUCGUAUUAGAACUACUUUGGGAGUAUAACAGUAUUCUAACACGAAGUAUGAUGCUAAUUUAACGAAACAAUGCAGCUCGCAUAUCAUGAUUCAUCACAGAUACGAACUGGCAGCUGAUACAGUAUACUAAAAACAACACAAGCACAGCACACAGCGUCCGUGAUCGCAUUCGUUAACUAAAAGUUCCAGUCGGUACACACUGGGUAACUGGAGCCAAUAAUAGUUCUGGAAUUGAAUCUGAAGAAACCGCACCAGAUUUUUACCCACGCUUUUCAUCGCGAGACAGCGCUUUCUUCCUAAAAUCUAACCGUAACGGAUGUAGGCAGAGGGGAAGGGGGGGGGGGGCGGACCUGAGGGCGCGCGGCGGGUUGGUGCCGUCGCCGUGGGCGAGGCUCCACUUGAGCAGGCCGUUCCAGUCCGGCCCUCCUCCUGCUCCUUCCUUGGCCAUCUUACCCAAGGGCGGAGGAGAUGCAACGGGAAGCUAAAGGGCGGGAUCUGUUCGUGGGGUGAUGGGAGGAGAAACGGUCGGGAACGAGAGAAUUGCAGGGGAGAUAGAUAUCUGCGGUGGAGGCGCUCGCACGAGGAGGAAGACGAGCGACGGAGCGAGGGGGCUGGGGCGCUCGGCAGCGGUGGCGGCGCUCGCUCGAGGAGGAAGACAAGGAGUUACGUGGUUGGGCCGUCGGGGCGCUCGGCAGCGAGAUGGGUCAGGGCAGGGAACUUCUCCUUGCUUCCCUUUUGUAGUGCUCCCGCUUCUCUUCGCCUUGGUCAGUCGUGGCGUCGUGGGGACGGGGAGACCGGGAGAUGGCCGCGGCGGCGGAAGAGCCUGGGGUGUUCUCGAACCUACGGUGCGCUUUCUCUGGAGGGGAAGUGUCUUGGGCCGUCUUGCUUCUUUCUUUAGAGGAUUGGGUCGGCUUGCUGUUAGGCCAUCAAAAUCCCAAGGCCGCCGCAUUUACAUCCGCAGGCCGUGUUUGAUGGGCAGUACUGGGCUGUGAUAUAACCGUUCUCUCUUUUAAAAGUUGUGAAGGCACUCCGUUCUCUCUCUUUGGUUUGUUUUGUCUGUUUAAUUUUAAAAUACUUCAAUUCAUUCAUCCUAGGACUUACUUAAAAAGACUCGAAAGUAAAAACGGCAGAGUAGUCUUUCUGAACAAACAGUCCUGAUCUUCAAAAAUGUACACGAUGGAUGGUAACAGGAGAUCGAGCUCGGAAAUUUGGGAUGUAUUUGGUCAAGAUGUUGAUUGCCGGCCGAAAAAACAGCUCGGAUAUGUUUGGUUAACAACAAGGUUGGCCAUAUAGUAGUGCUACGUUGCGGUAGUACGAGCAGUAACUUUCCAUCGAGAUGACAUUCAUUAUGACCGACUCGGCCGCAGAGCAACAUUUACGUUUAUACAGGGAGAGCAGUACAUUCAUGCACACCAACAUCAAACACACUCCUUCGAACUUGUGCGUUGUCCAAACUCCUAAUCUCUCGUUAACUAACACUAGAAGAUGCUACAGGGAGCAAAAGAGGAAACGCACACGUCACAUCCUUCUUCUUCACCAAAACAAGACGGACGUGCAUAUCCCUAGCUAUGCUUGCUACGAGCUACGAGCUAUACGUACUGGCGCUGCUGGUUUUGCACUUAAGACUGACUGGGACGAACUACUGCACGGCACUACGUGGAGCUAGCUAGGCGGCCUGCGGUGGCGCGAGCCGGAAGAGGGACUCGAUGUCCGGCGGGUUGAAGUAACCCCCCUUGGGCGGCGCCGCCUUCUUCUUCCCGAGCUCCGCCGGCCUCUUCCUCGGCGGCGGCGGCGGGCACGCCGCUGGCACCGCCGGGAUGCGGCACUCGUCUCUCCUCGGCGUCUUCCACCCCGCCUCCUCCUCCGCCGCCGUCGUCCCCCAAGCGCCGUCGCUCUCCAUCCGCAACUCCACCUCCAUGCCGCUAGCUAGCUUCUCCUCCUUGAGAGAUCAGUUUUGAAGCAAAAGCUCUAGCUAGCAGUUUGGUGAGCUAGCUAACUUCUACUACUAGUAGUACUACUAGAUACUAGAAGAAUAGAGCAGGUGAAAGUGAAGUGAAACCACACGAGCCAAGCUGAAGGAAUUAUUAUAUACGGGCACAGUAGGAAGGGGAAGUGGAGUCCAGCGCGCGGCGCGACGGACGGUGGCGGUUUUUGACGCCGUCGGGAGCAAUGCUGACCAUCUGUAUGAUUAGUGGGGUCUGUGGGAGGUGGGGCCGAGAUGUCCGUGAGAAGGGUGGGAGCGCGUGCGGGUGGAUGAAGGAUUUGGAUGUCUGCGAGAGCUACGCGGCACCGGCUCUGGAACGCGCGGGAACCGGAACGCCGAGCGUCGGUCGAAAGUGGGCGAAUGGUCUAGAGCAGCAUCCGCCUCGGAUUCUCUGCGCCCAUGCGACACGACCGGUCAGACCACCACUAUAUUUGUGUCCGAGUGAUGUUUGUUUUUGGAAGAUUGUCUUGUGUCAUGAAAGAGGGAGACGAAAACUACUUCACACCAACAGUGUCCGUACAUCUCCAAGGAACCAAUUUCUUCAAAUUCAUAUGUUGAAGUUGGGGGUGGUGCUCGUGAAUCGACUACAUGUAAUAUUUUCGACAAUUAAUAUGAAUCGAAAGAAUAGCUAACAAAGAAAAACUCUCUAAGAAUUCAAAUUCUCUUGAAAAUUCUAACAUCUGGUUUGGCACCUCGUCGUUUGGGCCUAAACUCCCUUAAAUUCAUCUUGAAUUCUAGAAACCGACUCACUUGACUAGCGCGGAGCAGAAGAAUUGAAUCUGAAAUUUCAUGAAAUCACAAUAUAAAUAACAUCAAUUUUUCUCUAGAAGCUAUCAUUUCUCUAGACUUGUCUCCAUGUGGCAGACAAACACAAUUAAUCAGAAAUUCAAAGUCAACCUAAUAAAUUCCUAUUAACAAUUUGAUUCUAUUUCAUUUGUAAAUGAGGGUUAUUACCAGACGAGUAUAUUCAUUUGAAUCAAAGAAGUCCCAACACAAUUAUUGUGUGCUGCAUUACCAGCAUUAGAAACCGGAAAUGGUCCGGGGUCACAUUUUAGUUUGGUCGCAGUGGGUCCAAGUUAACCGAGCGGUUCAAUUCAUACACAGCCUGGAAUAUUGAUGAGGUCUAGCUUUGUACGAGUACUACUAGUAGUACGGAGUACUCCUACCGGAGAAGAGAAAGCCCUGUCCUAUCCUGUCCUGGACUCAUGCAUAUCUCCUCGGUCCUCGCCGCCGGUGCAGGGGGGGUUUGUGGCGGAAGGCGUGGCCACGUGGAGGCGCCUCUGUCGCUCGGGCAGUAAAAGCGCGCGCUAGAGUGGCCGCCCGUCUACCACGUGGAGCCGGCCCAUUGACACAGCUGCUAUACAUACCCGGUCUCUCUCUCACUCUCCGUUUCUCUCUCGCUCGUCGUGUUCCCAAGCUGCUGAAGCUUCGCCGUGCGCGCUGCUUUUACCCAAUUUCUUUUCAGAGAUUAUUCCUCCCCGUGAGAAGUAAAUAAAUGGGUACUCGUUUUCUGGCUACUCGAGCAGCCAAAGAUGUUCUUAUCUCAGCUAGAGUUAGCUAAAACUUUGGUUCCAAAAAAGAUGACAGUGGGAUGUUUUUCCGCUCAAAAUGUUGAGCGCUAGUGCAGUGUACAAAUUUCUUACAUGGGGAUAUGUUCUAUUCUUACUGGCACUUGCGUGAGAUAAAAAGUACGACGAGACAGUGGCUCACCGGAGAGCGGCGAAAGGUUUCCUUCACUUGAACGGAAAAAAAUAUAUUUUGGAUUCGAACAUGGAAAAGUGAUUGCAUCAUAGAACAAACAACAACGACACUGAAAGCACAGAAAAAUACUAGUGCAAGCAAGCCAAUUUGCAAUAGAACAGGAACAACGACAACAGAAAAAGCUUGAAAACUUGACGACCGGCUGCGACAAGACAACCAGUGGCCUUGUGCAUACGAGACACACAAGAUAGGAAGCAGCGGAACUGAUCAGAAAUGGUAUCAGGCUAUCACCACGUUUCUUUUCUUUGUUGUUGAUGUUGUAAUCAGCACUGGUUUAUGGAAGCAAACCCGAAAGAAAGUAAGCAUACAUGAAUAAGAAAGGAAACGGCAAACAAAAAGGCAGUUGCAACAAAAACUUCAGGAUAGAUCUUGCUGAGUUUUGUGCGACUAGUUAGUCCUACAUUUCUCGAGAAGUCACAAGGAUCUCAUCUCCCAUGUCUUCAACCCUAAGCUCGGCAAACAGCUGUGUAACAUGAGAGUUCCUCAAUCCAGCCACCACAGAGCCUUCUUACUGCCAACACAAGCUAACAACAGCCUUCAAAUUUCGAAGACAGUCGUUGGCGAAUGACAAAAUAGGCUAUUCCUCAAGAAGAUGAAAUCGCUGCCCAUUCUCUACCGCAAACCUUCGCAGAUCAAGUAGAUUUCCCUCGAACUAGAUCUUGUCGCCUUAGGCCUCAGCAAAGAUACUUUCUUAAACUUCUCUUUGCAAAAUCUGCUAAACCCUGCAAAUGGAACGAUUGGUCAUUCAUCAAUGUUGGCGAAUGACAAAAUGGAACGAUUGGUCAUUCAUCAUUGCUGUGAUAAAAUAUGCAACGAUAACGAAUACAAACUCAAGAGGUAAGAACUUCAUGUAACCUGGUACAUCUUCGUUCUCCAGAAACUUGAUUACUAGGUUGCCUCCCCGUCUAAGAACACCAUCCUCGUCAGGAUCAGGACCCGUGGAGCUCUGGAACUUCUCCAUAGUGAUACUGUAGUCAGCUGAUUCUUUAAGCUUUAUCUUGCCAAUUGCUAAAGAGAGUGCGCGCAUGCCCAGCUCACAAGAUAUAGCUUCAUCUUUGGUUGUGAUCCCUGAAACUACUGGGCACAUGUCGGAUAAUAUUACAGAAAAUCCUCGUUCCUGUACAGCAGAGUGCCAUCGAUUAAUUAUUAUCAACAAAAUGAACAGAGAAUCACUAGCACAGCACAAAUAUAAGUCAGAAUCAUUGAUCUGGGGUCUCCAGUUAUUGAUCAUGAAAUCAGGCACGGCAAGUUUGGUGUUCCGACAGAUGAAGCUUCAUAAUUUGCCAAGGUGAGGGUUGGGUUCACAUACGUUAUGCACAUAGGACAAAACAGACUGAAAAAAUCUGGUAAUCAAUUACGUAUUGUGCUGCUGAUACAAGGCUAAUAGCUGAAUUAGUUCAUAUUGGUUCAUUUCAAAGUAGGAUGUAUCAUAUCCAGCUACAUUCUCAUUUUCAAGACUACCUUCGUUUAUAACGAGUAACUGCCCCUCCAUUACUCGCUAAAUAUUAUCCGACCUUGCAAUUGUGUGUCUUGACAUCUGUUACGCAUCACAUACUAGUGAACCUACCCUCGGUUUAUAUUUCAAAAACUCAUUGCACGACUGUUGGUUAAUUAACAGUUCUAUUCUCGCAAGCAUCGCCAGCCAACUAACUGCAAGCCUUGAAAAUGGUUUCAAUAUAUAUGCAUUUACAGUUGAGUCGCAAAGGUGAACAAAUCAAGCCACAUUACAAGUUCAGAAUAACGUGUAAUUCAGUCAGUGCCUGAUUUUACUAAUCUGAGUAAAAUCCACAUCCAACAACGUAACGGAUACUCCUAGAUAAAAGCAAGCAAUCGAACCUGCGGCGACAUUGCUCUAGCUUGCUGCUUCAUCAGAGCCAUGACAUCGGCGCAGACCGUCCUGACCCGUGAGUCGCAGUGCGCCGAGGGGACCUUCACCUUCUGCUCUGCAACAACCGAGCACCCGCAUCAGACCAACAUCCAGUCCAUAAAUCACAAAUAUCAACGCCAACCUGGGCAUCAUUGGCAGGUUGGCUGACCAACCUUGACAUCAAGGCCGAUGACCACGCCACCCUUCUCGAGCGGGCCGAGGUUCUGGCAGGCCACCUGGAGCCACGCGCCGGGGGCGCACCCGAGGUCGAGGACGGCGGCGCCUGGGGCGAUGAGCUUGUGCUGCUUCUGUAUCUGGAUCAGCUGCAACAACAAAAAAAAGAAAAGAAGGACGAAGCGAAAGCGGGUCGCGUGAGACAAUCAGUUGAACGCGGAGCGCGGGAGCGAGAGGGAGGGGGUGGGUGGGGUGGAGGCGCUGACCUUGAAGGCGGAGCGAGCAACGUAGCCGAGGCGCUGCGCCUCGCGGUAGAAGAAGUCGGCGGUGCCCGUCGCGCCGCUCAUGUUCCCGUUUGCGCCGGCGGCCGGAGAGCGGAGAACGGCAGCCUCGGAACGGGGUUUGCUAGGGUUUUAGCCUCUUAGACCGUUUUUCGCGGUCCGUGGACUACAUGGGCCGGCUGACCUUGCGAGCAUGUCAUCGGACGGCCUACAUGCUACGGUGGGCUUGAAAGAACUGUUUAAGGGUCCGUUUAUUUCGCGGGCGAGCCAAGAUGGACAGGGAUAUCCAUGAAUGGCAUGGAUAGUAAUAUCCAUUUUUCGUGUUUGGUUGUUUAAAUUGGAUGAGCCGGGUUUCUGUUUGGUAGAAUGGACAAAAGAUGGGUGGAUAUGAUAUUGAUAAUUGCAAUUUCGAAAUUAAUUUGAGAUGAACUAACAACAACAGCCAUCGCAAAUUCACUAGCAAAUCCAUCGACUCCGUCCAUUCACUGGAAAUAAUAAACCGAUAGAUUCGCUGGCAAAUCCAUCGAGUCCAUCCAAUCACUGGAAGUUGAGAUGAGAGAAACCCAAUACAUGAAAAUCAAUCCACUGGAAGUUGCGAGGCACAAAAGUAGCAACAACAUCUAGCAACCCCAUGAAAUCCCAUGGAUUCUCGGCCAAAAAUUGGAGCAGCUCGCAGACACAGCAGGGAGGCGGAGGCUCGUUUCUCGCCGUGCGACAGGAACGCAGCGGCUCAUCUUCUUCUCCAUGUGGCACGGACGUGGAGGUGGAGGCGCAUCUUCUCGCCGCCGCCGCCGGGAAUCGGGUCUGGAGUUGUGCCGUGUAAAUCCUCCAUGGCCGCCUCCAAGAAGCACUCCAGCACCACGUUGCGUGAAGAGGCCGCGCCUCGGAGGUUGCCGGCGCCGUGGGGUGGAGUGGCGCGACUGGAGGUCGCGGGCGCAGCGGGGGUAGGUCGCCGGGGAGGGCUGCUGCGGGAGGGGCUCCGUGGGGAAGGUCGCCGGCAAACACAGGCGUCAUGGGGAAAGAGAAAAACGGUUCGUUGUUUUUGCGGAGGCCGCGCUACUGGAUGAGGCCAUCCGGCCAAAUUUUCCGGAUGUGGCCAGCCGGGAUAUUUGGGUAUAUUCCGUUUUGCUGGAUGCUCUCAACCAUCCCAUCGAAUCAAUCAAACAAGUGGCAUCCAUAAAAAAAAAGUGGAUAUUCCUAUCCCCAUCCAAGCCUAUCCAGGCAAGCAAACGCAUCCUAAGUGCCGCUCAAAGAGCUAUCCUCGGGAAAAAAAAAAAGACUAAUGGAGCUUGGGGCUUGUUGUCAAAUUCAAGAAAAGAGAAGAAUAACUGACUGGUCAAAAAAAAGAGAAGAAGAACUGCACCAAUUUAACACGCCGAUGUUUUUUCAAAACAAAAAUGUGACGGACGCUUGAAUUUUGAUGUUCCAAGAACUUGAGACCGUCAAAUUGUUCAUCCAUAAUGCGCUCAUAAAAAAAAAACAAUGACUGUCCCUGGGUUAGGUCUUAUUUAGAACAUAGAAAUUUUUAUACUGUACUAGCAAGCCGUAAAAAAAAUACUCAAUCGCCGUGGAUGUUUCAUCAAACAGACAACGAUGACGACGAAGCGUGAGAGGGUGACGUGGCCCAUCUCUACGCCGCGGCGCCUCUUGGCAUGUCCAAUCUCCACCCCGUCAGAUCACCACGGCCUUCCUUCUUCUAGACAGUUCUUGGGGCAUCCUGCUACUCCCUUCUAGCGUCAUUCCCAUCCUUCCCUUCUCCCCCGUGAAACCUUGGCACCACCGAGGGAAUUCGGCGAUUCGCGACCAAUCUGCACUACACCACCAGCUCUCCGCGCCAUGGCGGACCCGGCCGCUCCUCGCUCCACCGUCCUCGUCACUGGCGCCGGCGGCCGUACAGGUACGGCAUCCCUCCCUCCCCGUCUCCCUCCUCACUGCAUUUCCGCCCUCGUACUUGGCACGCGUUCUAGGACAUGUUUCUCCGAACAGAACCAUGACGAAUUCGCCAGUCUCGAUGGGAGAAUUCCGAUCCGUGACAGCGCUCCGGGGAAUUCGAUCGAACUGGCAUGUAUGUUGUAUAGGCUCUCUAGGGCUAGGAUUGACGAGAACCCUUGGCAGCUCUAAUCCAUUCUGUUAGAACUUAGAAGUACACUUGUGUACUGUGCAUUGACUCCUGUCCUGACUCCUAACGCGCAUAGGGUUACUUGAUUUUUAAGGCCAAAUCGUCUUCAACAAGCUCAAGGAGAGAUCCGACCAGUUCGUCGCGAGGGGGCUAGUGAGGACAGAGGAGAGUAAGCAGAAGAUAGGAGGAGCAGAUGACGUUUAUGUUGCUGAUAUCAGGGAGGCAGAUAGCGUCGUGCCCGCUGUUCAAGGUGUCGACGCUCUCGUGAUCCUCACCAGUGCCACCCCGAAGAUGAAACCAGGAUUCGACCCCAGCAAAGGCGGUAGGCCUGAGUUCUACUAUGAAGAUGGGGCGUAUCCGGAACAGGUUGGUCUUCUGUGCCGCUUUUCUGAUCUUCGAUGGAUUUAGGAAAUUUCAGGGAGUUCCGGUUAUGUCACUUCAGUGCCGCUCCUGAAACUUGACUUAGGCGAGUGUCAUAUUCUGAAAAACCCCAACAAUUAAGUGCUGAUUAAUUUUGCUAUGAAUGUGUUUCAGGUGGAUUGGAUUGGACAAAAGAACCAGAUUGAUGCAGGUAAGUGUUGCAUUGAUUCUGCGUUGCAGUUUGUACAGCAAUUUAUGCGUGUUUGCUAAGUGGAUUGUGUGUUGGACAGCCAAAGCAGCUGGUGUGAAGCACAUAGUGUUAGUGGGAUCUAUGGGAGGAACAAAUCCUAACCAUCCACUUAACAGCCUUGGCAAUGGCAAUAUAUUGGUAAGAUACUGGAGAUGAGUCUAUCCAUCUUUGCUUAUGUUGUACUACUGCAGAUGAUUUUCUCUAGCUUUCUCUGGAAACUUAUUAUCUGCAAUAUUUUAGUAUUCUGUAAAAAUAGACACAGAGUGUUCGACAAAUGAUAGAUUGCCAGUAGAUGAGCUAUAUCUGUCUCUGACGGAAUGUUCAGUUUUCAGAGUUCUAACAAUUGACACGUGGAAGGAUGUUUUGCCCUAGAGAUGUUCAAUUGAUAGAUUUUAACAAAUAGCCCAUGACACAAAGCAAAAACAUACCAAGAAACAGAGUUUUACAAAUGAAUAUUUCUGAAUACUAAAUUCCCUCUGUAGAUAUAUUUUACAAGUGAACCUCUCUUUUGGGCUGAAAUGUUCAUGUCUGAAGUCUUGCUUUGUUUUACUUCUGUUAAAAAUGAUUGCCUACUUAUAAGCUAGAUAUACACAGUGCUUACUCAGCUACUCAUGGUAUAGUUUAUCCAAUAAUCCAAUGAGACAAAUCCAUUUGCAAAUUUGGAAGAUCAUAUUAUUGAAGAUGUGACAUCUUGAUUAUUCAUUUCUCUGUUAUAGGUCUGGAAGCGCAAGUCUGAACAGUAUCUGGCAGACAGUGGAGUUCCUUAUACAAUAGUAAGGUACAUCGAAGAACAUGUAUACCAAAAGAACAUCUUCCCUAUUUUCAAAAUAAGAGAAAAAAAACAGCAGGCAUCAGUUUGGAUAAAUGACAUCCUUUAGAUCAACAACUGUUGAAAAACAGUUGCUCACAUUUCUGAAGUUGAGCAGUUACUCUAAAUAUGCAUCAGUUUGGAUAAAACUUAAGAUUACUAUAGAAGUUUGGAAUAAGUCCCUAUAUGCUACUAAAUAUCUUCAAAUCCUGCAUUUCUUGGUGAGAUAAAGGGGUGAAGCAAAUAUUCAGUGGCAUCUAGUAGUUUUUGUUCAUCUAAGUAACACCUGUCCGGAUUGUGUAGAAUGUUCUGCUAAAUCUUUCAGUUUUGGUAGAUAGCAGAUAAAUUUGAUUUGAAGAGGUGUAUUUUGUUAACAUGUACAAGAACACUAGAACAGGUUAACCUCAUCCUCUUCACUGAUACACAAUAUGUUCCGCUUCAAUUUAGGCCUGGUGGUUUGCAAGAUAAAGAUGGGGGCGUGAGGGAGCUGAUUGUUGGGAAGGAUGAUGAGCUUCUCCAGACUGACACCAAGGCAAUUCCUAGGGCUGAUGUGGCUGAAGUUUGUGUUCAGGUAAAACAUGUACUCGUGUGAUAAUGCUGCAACUGUAUUCUGUGGACAGACGCUUUGAGAUAGCCUUUCUGAUUUAUAUGUUUUUCUUCUUAAAAUAGGCCCUGCAGUAUGAAGAGACAAAGUUCAAGGCGUUUGAUUUGGCCUCAAAGCCUGAAGGUGUGGGCACGCCAACGAAAGAUUUCAAGGCGCUGUUCUCCCAGGUCACCUCUCGGUUUUGAGUUAUCUAUCAUAUCAAGGAGCAUACUCGCAUUUCCACAUUUUUUUAGGCUCGUCUUGGAUAUGGAUGUCUAGCUGGGUAGCUUUGUGCAUGAUGAUGAUGAUGAUGCAGUGUGGUGUACUUACACAAUCGUUGUAUCAAACUUGCUAGAAAAAUGUCACCAAACAGUUCAAAAACACAUUGCCACAGCUUUAUAGGACGGUGCAAAUCGUUGUAUCAAACUUGCUAGAAAAAUGUCACCAAACAGUUCAAAAACACAUUGCUACAGCUUUAUAGGACAGGGUUCUUCUUUUUACACUGUCAACUCAGUUCUGGCGCACACCGCUAAUCCAUAUAUGCCUUUUAGUUGUCCCAGCAGCUAAUAUAUCACACCUCGAUAUGCCCUACACCAAAUUGAGCAAUGAAAUAAUACAGCAGGUAAAAGAUAUCACUUUUGCCAAUUCAGGGAACAAGUAGUUGGAAAUAUGUUACGCAGACACCUGCCACUCAGUUAGAAAAAUCAUAUGCAAUAAGUUUCCGUUCUAGCUAAGUUCAGCAAAAACACAUUAAUUUUGCUUCAGAAAAGGGUCAAAGCUCAUCAACAUAAGCUUCAGAAUAUCACAACGAAACAGCAAAAAGUGAUGAAAUAUAUCAAGCAAAGGCUAGUGGUCUCUACAGGUCUAGCUAGGUUUCCAUGUGGAUUGGGCCAAGAUGACUUUGCCCUUCCAACCUUGCAGCAUCCACUUGUUAUCUUCAUCAACGAGGAAAUCCUUGUGAUAGGACUUGGUUACCUUAUAUCUGGCCUUCUUCACUGUAUCUUGAUUCAGAGGCAGCUGCCUGAAUCCUGCCCUGAUGUUCCUGACUUGCCAUUGCUUGUAAGUCUCCGGCCUCUCAACCCUCUCUGUGCCCUCGCAAGCAACCACGUUUAGAGCUUCCCGUCCGAAGAAAUCCCUUUCAAUCAGAAGCCUAUGUUCGUCCAGCCGUGAACUGGUAGUUUCAAGCAUGUCGAAGAGCGAGGAGAAGUAGAACAGGGCCUCCUUGAAGCGUGUCACGAAGAAGGGCGCGUUGUAAGUGCCAUUGACAACCCCAUGAAUGAACAUAUGUGGAUUCAUCUUCCUGAUUGUGUUGAGAACCCUCAUUCUCGGGCUGUCAUCCGUCACUGUCUCGUCCAUCAUGUGCCUCAUUAGGAAAGUGCAGUUCACAAUAAGAAGCUCAUCCUUGUCGAUCUUGAGAUCUUCAACUCUGACGGUAUCCCACUUGGCAGCUAUGGCAUGAUAUUCAAAGGGGACUUUGAACGUCCGGGCAUACUCACGUAAACGCUGCCCUGUCGCCUCUACACGCUCCGCAGGCCGGAACCCUGGCUGUGGUAAGUCAAUACCGGUGAUUCGGAGUCUCGGGGGGCCACCAAGUCUCCUUGCGAUCCGCUGCAUGAAGAUUGGCCACUGGAAGCCCCACCGUAUGCCGUAGUCAACAAUGUGUAACCUGGUCACAUCCUUGGAAGCAUUCAAGAUGGCUUCAUUAGAGAAGAACUUUGACAAUUUGUUGAACGGGCAUACCGUCACAUACAGCUCGAACGCUUUCAGUAUAUCAGCAGUAGUAUUCCGCUGCGCCACAAGUGAGCGAUAGAUGGUGCUACCUGUGCCGGCAAGGCGAGCCUCGAGCCCGUUGGCAAAGUAAUGCGCCAGCCUCUGCCCGGCAUCCCCCAGAGCAGAAGAAUGCUGUCUGAUCUGCUUGAGCAGCUCGACAGAAUUCCGGUAAUCAUCGAUCGCCGUGGCCUGAGCACAGUGUAUCAGCAGGGUUGUCAGAUCGACCGACUCCUCCUCCGCCGCCGCCGCUCCAGGUUUCCCCUUCUUCCGCCCUCUCUUGUUCCCCGACCCUUUCACGUACACGGCGCUGACCUCUGCUUCGGCAGGCAACGGCGACUGGAGAAUGCAGUUGACGCCAUCGCACAGAAGCACUUUGUCGAACAUCUCCCGGACGGUCUCCUCCUCGCACACCGCCGACUGCUUGCUCCUCCUCUCCUCCUCCUCCUCCAGCUCCACGCCACGGUCGCCAUGUCUGUUCUUCCGACCCUUAUGAACAGCACAAUCCCCUUCCAGCUUCACCGGUUCCUCCUCGCAAGGCACAAUCUGGCAAGAAGAGGUCUGUGUCUGUCUGCCCACGAACACACCAGCGUCGUUUCCUGCAAAACCGCAGCAAGGAUCCAUCCAGGGAUUAUUAUUCUGACGGCACGCCCCCGCGGGCGCCGCGUCGGCGAUGAUGUCCACGAAGGGCUUCUCGACGGCGAGGAGCGCCGAGUCCUGCUGCGGGUCCGUCGCGGCGGAGGAGGCACCGGGGCACGAGUCCUCAUCCUCGUCUUCGAGGAGGAACUGGUUGAUGUACGCGAGGACGGCGUCGCCGGUGACGUCCUCCGGGGCGUCCAGCUCGGCGGUGGUGAUAGAUGACGAAGGGCUCGGCGUUUGGCCGAGCGCCGGCGGGCCCGAGGGCGGAGACGGCCCUACGGAACCGGGGUGGAAUCCGUGGGGAGCCGCCGGGAAUCGGAGGUGCGGAUGCUGCUGCUGCUGCUGGAGGGGGGAGAAGUUGAACAUGUAGUUGGGGGCGGCGGCUGGGUUGGUGACGGAGAAGAUGUCGCCAUAGUCAACAUCCUCGCACGAACCCAUGGUGCUGCUUCUGCCUCUGCUACGAUGACACAAACAAAAAUAAUAUCUUUCCUCGAAGCCUCUUCCUCUUGCGACAACAACAAGAUCUCGCUUGAUUUAUGCUUCUCCUGGCGCUGCAAUCGCAUACGAAUCUCUCUUUAGAACACAAUCGCUCAAGACAGAAGAAGAAGAAGAGAAGCGGCUGAUUUACCUCCGCGGAAGGGAAGGGAAGAGCAGCAGCGACUCUUCAGUAAGAUCUCUGAUCUCUUCUGGGCCGGGGGAGCAAGCAAACACAAAUACAAGCACUGCCUGCUUGCUACUACUCGUAGUAGCUACGGGCCGCGAGAGUUGUGGGAGUCGAAGCCGCCUGGAAUCGGAACCUGGAAGAAGAAAGCGACGGUGAUUGGGGGAAAGGGCCACCGAGAGUCCACCAGCACGAGCUACGGUUCGGGCUACCACUGCUGUAUGACCGCGAUGUCUUUGUUUUGCUGAGCCUUUUCGCUUCUUUGUUCUUUUCCUUCUCUUCUUUCUUUCUUUCCGUUGGUCGUCGUGCAUUGGUGGGUUCUGCCCCUAAUGAUAAAUAAUCUCGCUGCAUUAACAAAUCGGGAACGUACGGCACUGAUGAGACGGACAGUGUAGCUGCUACUCCACGAAGCUUGACUGGAUGCAUGGAACAGAAAGCUUUCUGUUUACUCGCGAAAAAAAUGAGAAGGAUGGACGUCAGCACGUAUGUCCGCAUGGGAUCUCAUCUGAUCUGAUCAUCAUCUCCAGACCCGGAACAGGGGGCGACGUCGAUGGCCGUCGGAUUCUCUCUACGGUUGAGAUAUCCGUCGUCUGGAACAAGUUACUACUACGAGAGUGUCACGUAGUUGUAGCAGCUUGUUCAUCAAGGUGAACGCACGAGAAGGACCGGCGCAAAAGGGGAUUAUAAUACGUACUUGGUGGCACGAGUAUCUCGUUUUUUCUCCUUGCUGCACUUUUUAUUUAUGCUCACGUACGUCGCUGUCGAUUCUUCUCGUCCGGCGUUACGUAAUGCCCGGUCGGCCGUAGGCUACUUCUUCUUUUUGUCAGUUGUGUGUGGUCAUGGUUCCGGAAUCCUCGAAACGGAAUUGGUUGCACGGUUCCGUCUACAAGUGGGAGAUAUGGAAUGAUUUUUUGUUUCAGAAACAGGAAGAAAGGUGAGGGGGAAACGGGGCAGUGUGCGCUUAGAAGGGGCCUUGCAAAGUCCAGAUAGCAGGGUCGAUGGCCCAGAAAUUUUUUGUCCUGCAACGUGUUUGGUUGGUUAGCCCAGAAAGAAGUUUUUGAUCCGGAGCGUGUUUGGUUAGCCCUGACUGGCCCAAGAGGAUAGCAUAUCACCUACGCCCAGCCACGCAGAUUGUGUCGGCCCAAAAGCAAAGUCAGUCCCUAAAAAGGAACUAAAAUAAGAAGAAACACUCGCUCAAAAAAAGAAGAAGAAAGAAAGCAAAGCCAAUCAAGACAUGAUUAAGGUAUUUUGUGUCGGUAAAAAAGAUCAAGGGAUGUACUUACAUUAAAACAAGUUGAUGGAUUUUGCGCCUGUUUCAGAAAGUUUGGUUUAUGGGAUCAGGCUAACGCUCUCUCGGCUUUUUUUCACCCCCUUCCAUGUACUACAUCCUUGGGCGUGGGACGAUUAAAAUCGAAUGGUAAUCGUAUGCAUCAGCUCCAGGAAAUAAAAAAAGAGAGAAAAGAAGACGAGCUGCAUCUGUACCUUAGGGUCACAAGCAUUCAGAACUCAGAAGCCUCGACAUAUCCGUUAGAGCAUGUUCAAUGCAAGGUGUUUAAGGUAGUGCUACAAAAUUAAACCAAUUUAUUCUCAAGCAUCAGUGUUUAUUUUUAUACUAGAGGUGUUUAAUUUCAGACCAAAAGGUUUUAAUAUUUAAUUCUAACCUUUAAAAUCUAAAAUCAGGGUUAGAUAUAUUUUAACCUUUGUGGAUUAACAUGAUGGCUUCUUGUCCUUUUUUCUAUUGCUUAAUUUUUUUUUGAGAGAUCUAUUGCUUAAUUGGUAUAUUGCAAAGUAAAAAAAAAUCAAAUUAGUAUUAGAAAUCUGAGUCUCAGGCAACAUGCUACGGAAGUUGUGUGUGCAUUACAAAGACGUACAGAUGCAUGCAGGUGUUCAUGGUUUGGACUUACUCAGUCGUGUGUGUUUUUGCUGCCUUGUCCCUAAACUAUACCCUAGUGCGGCUCGUGAACUCCGCUUGGCGAGGGCAGACGAUCGAGUCGCUCGAUCAAGUUGAUCUGGAGCACGAACUCCGCUUGGCGAGGGCAGACGAUCGAGUCGCUUGAUCAAAUUGAUCUCGAGCAUGGGACGACGCGGACACAAAUUGAAGACGCUUGGAUUGUAUUCCGCUCGGUAGAUUCAUCAAUGGCUGGCUUGCUGCUAAGGCACAUACAUAUGGCCCUCCGUGCGGAUCUAAUUCCUAAUUUGAGAAUCUGUGUCGCUAUACCAACCGGCAAACAAAAUGUGUUUCCAUGUAUAUUGUGGAUUGGUUUCCAUACCGAUUAUUGAUUUGCUUCUAACGUUCCUUUUCUAUUAUGUUACGAUAAAUUUGGACCCUACGAUAACUAUUGCAAAAUCCGGACCGUAGAAUUUCUGCUAUUUUAAUUAGAUAUUAGAUACUCGUUUUUUUUCAAGCAUCUCUCUGAACACCUUGCAUUAAACAUGCUCUAGCAGGAUUAUAAGCGAAUACAUGUUCCGGUGUCCACGCACCAAGUCCUUUCGAAAUUGAAGGCACAUGAGGGGCUUGGAUCCCUUGACUUAAAGUCAGUGACUUUAUGGUCACUGACAGGUGGGGCCGGAUUCACAUGUCAGUGACUGUAAAGUCACUGAGUUUAAAUCAGGUGAUCCCUCUCCGCACAGGAGACGUAUAUAUCCCGUUCGUUGGAUCCAACGGGGAUCACGUACGUACGUACCCCGCCGUGCGAUCGGAUCUCGCAUGCCGAUCCCAUUUAUACACCGCGCGCGCAAGACAUGCAUGCAUGCGUCACGCUCGCGCUCGCGCACGCGCAGCAGUAAAUUGGCAAAUCGGCACGAUCGAGAUUAAUUGAUCAAGUGCGGGGUAUGUGUGCGUGCGCCCGCGAUCAAAUCCGUACCGGCUCUCCGAGGCGAUCGAUCGGCCCCAUGCAUAUAUCGUCCGUCCAUCACGCGGGCCGUGGAACUGUGCGUGCUGUGCGUACGGUUAGAGAGCCGCGAAAGGUAUCCUAGGGCAGUCUAGCUAAUACCGUAAAACGUGUGCUGUGUCGUCGUUGGAUCAAGAUCCACCAGCCAAAUCCAUCGAUUUUUCUCUAACUAAAUAUCAAACGACUUCUCAAAGCAAAAUGGUUAAUUAAUUAGAGCAAUAAUCUACACAGCUGGUUAGGACUUGUUUGUUUCUAGAAAAUAAAAUAGACAAGUCAUGUUUUUUUAAGGGAAACAAAUCAAUUGUGCCGGUGCAUUACAGUCUUCGAGGUUUUCCGUGCCGACAAAUUGGAGCAGUUUUUGGUGCCCUGCAAAUUCUGAAGGCUUCGAAUACAUGAUCAAAAGAUACAAAACAUGUAUACUAGCAUUUUGCAGCCCAAUUGGUGGAGCAUUUUGCUCUUUUUGUAUCGUUGCAUGAUAUGUAUUGCAUUUUCAGGCAAUAUGUGGGCCAUAUCUUUUUUUAGUGUGAGCAACGUAGAGGAGCAGGUUCCUGCUGUCUCUUUUCUUCUGCUGUUAGUCUGUUACAUAUUACAGCUUUAGCAACCAAGAAUUCAUUUCAUUUGAUCAAAAUGAAAUGAAAUGAAAUCCAAUUUGAUAGGAUUUCAUUUGGUUGAAUUUGAAUUCCGGAUUGAAAAAUCAUAUUUGUCUACCACGUGGAUUUGAGGAGUGAAGGACAAUUCUAGAGAAAUGAUGGCUUUUAGAGAGAAAUUGAGGCUAGCUAUAGUGUGAUUCCAUGAAAAGUCCAAACAAUACAUGGUUAAAUUCCAAGCACUAGUUAGGAGAUGUGAUAGAAUUUUUAUUCUUAUUGGUUGCCUUGAACAAUGGUCAAGCAAAUAAUAGCAAUUCGUGUCACAUUAUCUUGUUUUCAAGUUACUACACCCAUUUUUUUUACAUCCAGAAUGAUGGAAGGAUGUAAUAAUACUACUUAUAACUUUCUUGGAUGUAAUUGUUUUUCAUCUUGAAGUAAGUUCUGCCUCUUUAUUUUCUUACAUCCAGAUGUUGGAAGGAUGUAAUACUACUUACUUAACUAUGAAUUAAUUUUUUUUUCAUAUGAAAGGAAUUAAGUUCUGCCUCUUUAUUUUCUUAUAUACAGGGUGAUGGAAGGAUGGAACACUAUCUUAAUCUGGGAUGUAACUUCGGGUGGGAAGGGGGGUGAUGGUAAGUUUCAGACACACCACCUAGUUGCAAACUCCCAGAACUGCCUUGUUUACAUUCUAAAACUAUGUGGGAUGUAAGUUCGCAUGACUCUGUAUACUCAGGUUCACUAUGUGAAUCCCAUCAGGUAGCAGAUUCAAAUUCUUACUCAAGUGUAAAAAAACAUGAAGCAAAGUAAGUAUUUUCAUAUGAAGGUGCAUCAUAAAUGAUUUUCAGUAUUCCUAGCAGAUCCUUUAAUUUUUACAUCCUGGUACUAUAGAGUUAUGUUUGAACGAAAGUUUCAAGUUACUUUGUGUGCAAAACUCUAUUUCCAUGUGUUACUAAUUCAUAAGAUCUGUUGACUGUUGUUCAGCAGAGUGACACACCAGUUUGGUGUACAGAGCUAGGCAACAAUAGCAGGGGAGGUGCAUGAAGCUUCUAUCUAAUAUUGACUCUCUUGUACAAUAGCAGUUUGGAUCAAUUACUUCUGUGACGAACUGACGAUCUGUUCGUGCAUGGCUGUACUUGUUGAUUUUUUUGUUGCGGCACAAGCUACAUGCUAGUUCUCAGAUUCAUGUCUUGUACCUGUGCAAACUGUUCUAUUUUUGGAUUUUGUAGAUCUAUAGUAGGUGAAAUUCUAGAGAAAUUUUAUUUUGGAUGCAAAAGGAACACCUUACCGAGGAUCACGUUUGAAAUAGCUUAUCGAUAAUUAUUUUGUGGGCAAUAUCAAUUUGCUUGAUGUAUGCUGGAGGUGCUGCUUUGGGUCGACGGGAGCAAUAAAGCAAAAGCAAGGACAUUGCUUUUAAUGCGUUUGUGUUCGGGAGCGUUUGUUGUCGGAAUCCGGCAGCCCAACCCACCUGGUCGGGAGCACUUUUCAAGCGUACAUAGUGCGCGCGCACUGUGUAGCCUGGUCCUUUUAUUAAUAGAGAAUCACAUUACACGAACAAACAAACGUGGAAACAAAAAUAUUGAUCAGGAGAAGAACGGUUAUCCUGAAAAAUUUGCAGAAAGAACCUAAUGGAUAGAAAAAAUACAUAACGAUCACUUGGGAUUCCUGCACUCGCCGAAGCCAGCGGCCGCCGCCAAACUCCAACGUCGUCUAGACGAAUGUUGGAAGAGACGCCGAACCUCCACCAUUGCCAGAUCCAAAAAAGCAUCAUCGCCAACGAGCCUUUGUGAGUUGAUGAACAGGCCCGUUGCAAACAACGAGGCACAUGUCGUUGUUGCACGUCGACCAGGGGAUGUCCCCGUGCUUCCUUGGACCUAGAUCCACCGCAUCCCAUCGACGAAGUCAUGGAAGAACAACAGAUCCACCACCUCUGGACCAACAUUCUCGCUCCAGAGAAACCACCUCGCCCCGGCCCUCAACGACGCCGUUGAUAACGACGAACGCCGGUGACACAUCGAGAAACGGAUCUCACACGAUCUGAAGAACGACGAGAAGACCAAGCUGUUGAUCUAAAGGACCAACAAGCACAUGUUGCCAUCAACUCUAAGGCGCCGUCCCUGAAGGUUGCCGCCAGUGUGGGAGUAGAGUUGAGGCAAAUUUAUUCACCUGGGCGCCGCUCUCACCACCCCAACGACGCACCACGGCAGGCAAAACCAGCCCACACUACAGUCCAAGAUGGAGGAAGAAGGUUCCCCCUCUCUCCUGCCGCCGGAGCGGCAAACGGAGUGAGAGGGGACCAGAGCCUUCACCGACGGCGCGCUCCUGUCGCCUGGGAGACGAGGAAAGAACCGUCCCUCGAGAGGGGUAGUUGUUGAAUGUCGCCUCUGUUGGGGUGGAAGCCACCGGGAGGAAUUGUUCCUGUGCUAACGUUAAAGUUUGAGCCUUAUCCUUCUGAUGAUCUAUAGUUGGGCCAUCUGGUCUACUAGGGCAACCGCAGUGGGGUGACCCAAAUUAACGGACCGCGUUUUGUGUCCGUUUUGGUCCAUUUGGAUCGCGGCCCGUACUGAAUACGCUCUGCUGCUCGGCCUUCAUCCGUUUGGGUCGCCCACCACCCUAACCCUAGCGGUGCGACCCAAAUGCGGCGGACCAUUUUUGGCGCCCGAAUUCAAAUCUCUCCCCUGUUCGCGGCUAGACUCCCCGCCGGCAAGGAUUGAAGCCAAAUCGAUGGCAAUUUAAGAUACAAAAAUACAAAUUAGUGUUCAGGCCUCGCCGGCAUACAUAGCAAGCAUAGUUUCAUACAAAUGCAACAGUUUUGGCCACAUAUCAUUCCUCCAAGGAUGCGGGCACAUCGCGUUCUUGUAUCAUCUUCCUCUUGGCCAGGAACCAAGCUCGCGUCGGAGGGUCCAUGAGGCUCAAGUCCGCCGUCAUGAUCCUUGUCUCCUCAGCGAGCAUAGCGGUCGCGGCUGCAGGUUUGGUCGUCGCCCCAUUGGCCCCUCGAUAGCGAGCUUCCUCUUUUGCACUUUGAUGAAUUCCUUCAUUUGCUCCUCCUUUUGUUGAAGCACCUUCUCCUUCACGGCUUCAUUCUCGGACCACAUCUUCUUGAGUGUCUCCUCGAAGGCAAGGUUGGAGGCCUCACGCUUGGUGCCUAACUUGGAGUUGGUUCUCCCCCUAGACCGGAAGGCCCGGGUUGCUACCUCGAUGUGGCCAGAGGCCUCGAGGUCGAUGACGCUGCAGUCACGUUUCUUCCCAUUGCCGGAGCUCUUCUUGGUGGCCAGAUAAACAUCUUGCCACUUUGGGGCCUCCUUGAGGAUCCGCCAACAAGGAUCAAGGCAAAUGGUUUUUUAUACAUAACUUUGAAGUACUCCAAAGGUUGAUACGCCUGCAGACAAUGAGGACGACACAUUGUUGAGCGCAAACAAAACACAUGAGAAGAGGACAAUGUUAACACAACUCACCAUGUCUCCGACGCCGACACCGCUGAGUGGCCUCGCCUUCACGUGAUCAUGCGCGCCCGCAAACUUGUUGCAUUCGGACUGGAUGAGGCCCCAUCUCUUUUGAAGGGAAACCUCUCCCCGGUCGCUCAUGAAGUUGUAUGGGGGCAAGAGGCGAUGCUCAUGGAAGAAAUCAUAGAUAUGCUUUCAAUACGUGACGACUUUUUGCUCGGCCCCGCAAAUUGGAUCUUGUCCAAUUUCUAGCCAGGCCUCGCACAACAGCUUGUCCUUGCACUCGGCAUACGCCUGCGUCCUCUUGCGUGUUCCCUUCUUUUGACAUCUGGACGUGUCCGAGCCGGUAUCAGUGCCGGCACGGUGUACAGCGGCUCGUUGUCAAUGCCGACCCCCUCUUGUGUUUCUCGCCCCAUUGCUCGCCAACUUCUUCCUCAUACGACGGGGCCUCUUGGCCGAUGAGAACCUCCAUGAACUGGGACGGCUCGUUGUAGUAAUUCGGGUCGGCGGGAUCAACGACCCGUUCAGGCAUAUCACCGAACAGGUUGCGGCCACUAUCCAAAGAAGAGGCAGGGAAAGGGCGGGCCACCUUCAUCAAUAGGCUUGGCAUCGUGGCUGGGGACGGAUUGAGGUCGAGCUCAUCGCCGGCUGCUGCGGACGGAGCCAGUUCGCCAUGUCGGGCGAUUCCGACGAGGGCCGUGAGGCCGGCGUCGUCGGCCGAGGUGGCGGUGGGCAGCUCACCACGCUAGACUCUGUGCUCGCCGCCGUCGUUUGCAAGCUGUCGGGUGGCAAUGCACCUUGUGCUAACUUGCCAAAGAGGAGGAUGGUCCGCAUCGCAUCCUCCUGCUGUCCUUGGGCAAGGGCAGCUUCCUGGAGGUACCGCUCUCUUUCCUUCUCAAGCUCCCGCUCUUUGGCGGCGGUGAGCUCCGCAUCCCUUGCGAGCUUGCGCACCCGCCAUUGUCCCAUCUUCUGGGUCUCGAUGGCCCUCGCAUUCGGGGUCAUCUCCUUCUUUGGUUUCCUUGGUCGAGUGAGGACGUCGGGAGCAGCUAGGUCUAGGGAUGCUAUGGCCGCCUCUGAGGUUGUGGUGGCGGCGGGGGCGGCUGGGGCUCGCCCGUCGAUGGCGCCGGCGAGAAGGGUGGGAUUUUUUGCCGCCAUUGAGGAGAGCGUGCGGGAGGCAGUGGGGAAGAAAGGGGGCAAAUGAAAUUUGAUUCGGUCACAGACAGGGGGAAAAGGGAUGUAUCUAGGGCGGAAGAGCGGAUUUCCGUUCCUCUUCCGCGCGCGAUGCAUCCCCGCCACAAAUUUGGGACGGAAAUGGGUCCAUCCAGGGGAAAAACCGGACGCCCGCCCAAAUGCGUCGUCCGCUAGACCGCACAUUUGGUCUGUUUCCCGCAAACGGACCACGCCGGCCUAAAUGCGUCGUCCCGCUGGAGGUGACCUUAGACAGAAUCUCGCGCUUUGCCGCGCACGCCAAUCACUCCUCCGCAUGGAUGUGUUCUUUUUAUCCCUGUUCUUUUAUAUGCUCACAUAGGAUGGAAUACUAAUUUUAUUUAGACAACGACCAAAUAUUACAUACUAAUUUUAAUGAAAUUAAUAAACUAAAUAAACUAAUCCAUCCAGCUGCCAAAUUAAAAAAACCAAGUAAAUCUAAUCUGCUCAGCUGAAGUCAUCGGCGUCCUCGUCGGUGGUGUCUCAGGGUGUGUAUUUUGUUUUCAGGUCGGUUAAUACGGUUUCUAUACACCAGUUAAUAUGAUUUCGUAUAAAAUACGGCUCAGUUCGGUUAUAACGUUCAAUUCGGUUUGGUUUCGGUUAGAAACAAUUAAUCAAAGUUGAUGCGAAUUUGUGAGCAACAUUUAAUUUUUUUGUCAUGUGUUCUAACACAAACACGAUGACCAAAUACGAGUUGCAUUGUUUCCGUUCCACUGAUUUUUGUAGAUCGGUUUACGGAAGAACAGAGGCAGUGCCCUCCAGCUACCAACACUUGCCUACAGCGAGCGAUCAAGCGUUCACGUAGCCAGAGCCCAAUUCUGAUCACGAUAAGGGAAGCCCAAAUGCAUAUGGGCUUGAAGUUCCAUUAUAAUUUUUUAUGGGCCUGAAGACUUGCAGGCUGGUACAACGAAACCUACAGGCUGCCUCGUUCGGCCGUUGGCCCCGUUCACUGCCCUGUCGCCACGAUUUGAUCGGAGGCUUGAAAGUUGAAACAUUAGACAUGUUUGUUUGGUAUUCAGCUUCAUCUUUUGAUGGUGUUUUUUAGUUUCAUGUGUAAACAUGAGAAGUGUUUUUGAGAUUGCUAAAAGCACCAAAAGCUGAAACAGAAGUCCAAACAAACAGGACCUUGGUUCCACAUGUCCGGGGGCAACGAGAGCACAGAGCUGGAUCCUAUAAAAGGAGUCAGGGUGUGCCUCAAGCUGAGAAAUAUUAGGAGUUGGUACCACCUUGCUAGAGGGGCCUGCCUUUAUAACAUUUUGCCGUUUUUCAAAAGAAAAAAGCUUUUGUUUGGUUUUAUUCUGUUUGACCGAAUUAUCUCAGUUAUUACUGAACGGCUACGGGUACUCCCUCCGUUUGGAUUUGCAAAACUUCUAUCGAAAUUUGUGCCACACUUUGACUAACAAUUACUCAAAUUAUAUUUAAAAGUUGUGAAGGAACAACUCCACCUUACUGUUACAAUAUAAACAUCACAAAUGUUGAAGGAACCAUUUCAACGUGCUGCGCUAGAUAUCGCUCUAGGGACGAGGAACUGCCAAGAGUUUAAUCAAGCUGUUAACACAAAAGAUCUAAUUUAAGAUCUAAGACAAAGAACAUUGCUUUUUGUUUCUUCAGAUCCCACAAGUUGUGAUCCUCAUGUUCUGAAUUUUUAUUUAUUUUUGCUGCAGCGACUGAGCCACUACACGACCGGUUUUCUCUCUCCCUUCCUGGUUUCCAUCGGAUCUAUAUCUUCCUCCAAGGUAACCCUCGAUUCUUCUCCUCCUUUCCGUCAUGAAUGUGGCCUCUUCUGUGUGAUACUAGUAGAACAAAUCAAGAAGUUCUGCAACUUUUAGAAAUAAAUCUUUUAUUGGGUUUCAGAGUUUCCUUUUCCUUGUGUGUUCAAUUUAUAUGCUUAAGGGAGAACUUAUGAGUUAACAUGCUAUCCUGCUCAUACCUGUACGUAAGAGAGUGUUAAAAAGGGGAACGAAAAUUGAUGGGGAUUAAAGAUAAAGUAGUACUCCCUCCGUUCCGUAUUCUUUGUGUUGCUCAAUUUAGACUGAUGGAACGGAGAGAGUAGUACAGAGAGAUUGCUCAAUACAAAUCAACUAGCGUCUUCAGUAAAUAAAUCAAUACAAUUUUUCACUUGAUUGGCCAGCUUUUUGGUUAAGGUGGAGCCAUGUAAGCUAAUACUCAAGAUUUAAUCUAAGUGUCCUUAGCCAGGGGCCUGUAUAAGAAUUUAAUUGCCACAAGGGUAACAACUAUUUAGAUAGCUUACUCACAAAACAUGUAGUCAGAGAAUAGUUCUUAGCCUCACAAAUCAGGACCCUAGCAUUUUGCUAACCCUGCCAUGAAAUAAAUAUUUUUAGGAUCCCAGGUAGCACCCUGUUUUGAGUGGACAAUAUAUAAGCUGCACACUUAAGGCAUUAUGCACACUAGUAUGUCUUUAGGUGAUUAAUAGGGAAGCUGUGUCUAGGUAUAUAUAGGUGAAGCUGUCCUCAUGGAGGCAAUUUACAUCCGAGGCAGCCAUCAAAACCAAUAGUUUAACACACACUUUCAGGUGCGUUAGUUUUCGGCCAAUGAAAUGAACAGAACCAAUACCUAGAUAAGAGAGUGAAUUAAACUGAAACUAUAUGGUAACUAGUGGAAAUGCGUGCGCUGCCACGGCCCAACGCACACGUCACGCGACCACUUUAAAAGAUGAUCCCGUGCACUAAUAAAUCAUCAUUCAAGUUUUAUACCAAAUUUUCACAUUCUAACAAGAAAAGACCAAUACAAAAGUUCAAAACAUAGAGCAAAUUUGUAUACAUCCAAAAGUCUGGAACCCAUAGAAAAAAGAUGCUAAUUUCCAAUUAUGCUGUCGAACUAUCAGUAGAUGCUAAUUUCCAAUCACAGCAUGCGCAUGGUAAUCAUUUGGUGCAUGGUAGAACACUAAUCUAUCUAUUAUCCAUAGCAGCUACUAUCAAUCAGGUUGGGAGUACAUACCAAUUAGCUAUCGAAUUAUCCGUCGAUUAGUGCAAAGCACCACAACAAACGAAAACAACAAGGACUCGCUGGAUGGUUGAGCUAUGGCCGGCCACCUACUGGAUCUCAUGCGUGGAUGGCGGACGACGGCCACUUUCUGGAUCACGCAUUGGGACUGCGGACAGCGGUCGUGGGGUGGAUCUCGCUUGGGGUCGGUAUGCUUGGAGUGGCCAGGGCGCGAAGUGCAGCGAGAAAAGCAGUGAUGUCCAGGCGAAGGAAGGAGCAGGAGGUCGGGGGAGAGAAGGGAGGCGGGUGGGGUGGUGGUGGUGGGGGGGGGGGAGGGGGUAGCCAGAGAGGAAGGGGGUUGCGGCGGCGGGGGCGAUGGAGCAGGUUGGGUGGGGUGUCGGGAGGAGAUCGAGCAGGUUGGGCGCUAGGGGCGUCCAGGUCGAGAGAAAUAACGAGCGGUGGCAUAUUGGCCUUAAUUUUGAUGACAUGACGUACGACGGCGGUCGUAUCAUCACCACCAACUCCAAUUUAAUACUGUAUAGCAAAAGAACCCGUGCGUUGCUACGGAACAACGGAAAAUUGUAUCAAAACGUCAAAUUAAAUGUUGAUGUGUUUAUGAUAUGUUUAUUUUCGUGGGCUAUAGUCUAGUCUUUUUCUUUUUUCAGAUGUCUUAUUUAUAUAUUUCUCCUUACAUUAUUUCUCAAAUCUCUUCUCCCAAUUUCUCGCUCUCCCUCUGACUAUCCUCUCCAUCCACCCUGAGUGCAAACUCCUCCUCUCCCUGUCCCGAUUCAUCCCGCCACUGAACAUCACGCCGCCAUGCGCGGCCGCCCGCUUGUAGAUUCCCGCCGCCCGUCCCCUCACGUGCGCCGUCUGCUCCCACUUGCGGCCAGGUACGCCUGUGCGCCACCCACACAUCGCGUUCGGCCACUGAUCGCCGUGCGCCACUGCCCGUCCGGAGGGCCACCGAUGGCUCGCGCCGACGCGGUCCUUGCUGCCUUGCGUGAGGCCAUCGCCGUCCAAGUCCCGCGGGAAGCCACCAGCGCGCACGAGCCGGUGGAAGCGGCGGUCGGAGCGCGCGACAGAGCUGUGGGUCCGCAGCCGCCUUCCGCACACGGACGCCGCCGACGCGCACGAGCUGGUGGAGGCGACAAGAGCGGCGGCGGGCGUGGGCGAGAUCCGGAUCGGGCAGGGGGUGGGGGUGAGAUUCGCAGGAGAGGAGGAGGAGCGAGGAGGGCUCUGUUGGUUUUUUUUUUGGGCGGUACGUGUUUUUUCUGCGCUUGAGGACUGCGGGAACCGGGAUUAAAAGACACGUGCAGACAUCGGUGGCAGAUUCGUAAUUUUGAUGAAGUGACGUACCGCCACGACUGUAUCAUCACCACCAACUUCAAUUUAAUAUAUUGGUAUAGAUCCAUCAAAAGAGUGUUAUGUUUGCUCCAUCACACGGUGUGGUGGAAGUGCAGACCAUGCACACAAGGGAUGAAUCACACUAACAUUGAUCUAGCUGUGAACUAAAACUAUCCAACUUUAUUAUUCUUUCAAGAAUUAUUUCUUAUAACUCACAUUUGUAGCUGGAGGACGAACGGAAGUCCAUGGCGAGUGCAGCCUCACCGCGGCAAGUGGAUCCAACUUCAAUACGUUUUCUUUGGAAGUAUCUAAGGUUUGUAGCUUCUUCUCCUCUUGCCCAAAAUCUGGUUUUGGUUGUGCAAUGGCAUGGAUUGGAUGGUUUGCUGCUACUCAGUAGUAUUAGUUGCCCAAACCUUGUUUCCUAGUAGGUGCUAGAGCUGGCGCUGACGCUUCUCGUUACUGUGGCUCAGCUCAAAGUCAAGUAGGUGUUGUUGCUGAUCUUUGUCAAAUGAAAAUCCACUAGAUGUGUACGCGCGCUUCGGCUAUAUCAUUCGAAGCGAGAAUUAUUUGUUGAUGAAUUUAUCGCACAACAUAAUUUUUUUGGAAUUUUUUUAGGGAAAAAAGAAUGCUGUGUGAUUGAUUGCACGGAAUAUUUGCUUAUGAAUCUAAUCGGUUGUCGCACCAGUGGCACCCGGGGUGCCACCGCUGCGCGACGCGUGGACCCGUCCCUGAGUUCCUGGGAAGGUUCCAUCCCGGGCAGCGGCUACGGGCAGCCCGGCAAGCUACCAGUCCGGAAGGGCUAGCAAAGCUUCGGGGAAUAUUCCUGCCUGGGCACCUCCCGGGAAGCCGCUUCCUGUGGGGAGGUUCCUGGGUGUGUUGGGCCCGGGCGCUUCCCGGGGAGCGACUUGCCGGGAUAAGGGGUUCCCGGGCGCAGGCCCCCGCCUCAAGGGUGGGGCCCGGUAAACAGAUCAACAUUGCCAUGCGGGCGCGUGGCGGGCGUGGGGUGCGCGACCCCACCGGAGCAAGGAGUAAGGCGCACGGCUCAUUAAGUGAGCCGACAGGAGGGGCGUUACCCGUCCAAAUCAAGUAAACAGUGGCUGUCCAAUCCUACCCUAGGGUUUUAGACCCCUAGCGGCGGAGGUGGCGUCCAUUCGCGCCACCAGCUCACCGAGGGGGAGUUGUAUGUCUCCCCGCUUGACACUUGUAGCCCAUGCACCGUGGCACCUGUGGCAUCCCCUUGAGUAUAAAAAGAGGACCCCCGCUAGCGGUCAAAGGGUUCUGGCUGGUUUCGAUAGGGUUGGCUCCAGUUCCGGUUAGAGGCUUCAAAGUUCCACGUUGGCAAAGUUAGUUCAGGGCAGCAAGUAGCGUUCGCAAGGAAAGAGAGAGAGCCCGGGGACCUUCCCCCGGCAUGGUGUAAACACUUGAUCCAGAAUCAAUAAUAGCUCAGACAAGCAGGACGUAGGGUUUUACACCUCCGGGUGGCCCGAACCUGGGUAAAAACGUGCGUGCAUGUGUUUUUUGAUUAGUGCGCACCCCUAGCACAUCAUUUCGCCGGCCCCGCAGGGCCCAUCGGCCGUGCCGGCGAUCGCCGGGGCGAACCCCGACGCCCCUGCCGAACCUAAAAGGGGGCCGUGAUCGCACGCCCCCGGUGUCGGAGCAUCGUGCGACGACAUCGGUUUAAUCCAUAGCAUAAGCAUUAAUUGAGGGUGGAUAGUCCGACAUGGAAUUAUUCAGGAAAAAAAUAAAGUUCCUGGAAGGAUGGAUAGUCCAAGAGGGAAUUAUUAACCACGUGGUAGUUUACGGCAGCGAGGCCCCUUUUUCUCUUCCAUAGCCCACGGAUGGAUAGUUCUUGGACUGAGCAAACUUGGGCCGGAGCCCGUAGCCAGAGUUGGCCCGUUUACGUCCCGACGGCCCGUCUGCUUCCCUCUGUGCUCCAAGCCGUCGGAUCGAAUGAAAAUAAGGGAGCCCGAACCCUAACUCCCUCAUUCCCUUCCCUUGUCCAGCAUACAUGGCGGCGCCGCGCUAAACAAAAAAACAUGGCGGCGCCAGCGCGGGGGCGAUGCUCGAAGGGGCGAGCAUCUCUGUCCAGCAUCCAUGGUGGCGCGGGGGCUGCGCUCGCCGGAGCAGCGUGCUGGGACUCUGUCCCACGCGCUGCUUCGUCGAGCGUGGCGGCCGACGCCUCGACUUCAUGCGCGUCCAUUUGUAUGGGUGGUGCAAUGGCAGGGAUCGGCGCUGGAGUUCAUGAUCAGGCGACGGCGGCGCGCACGGCGUGAGGCCAUGCUCUUUGUCGUUUGAAGUGCGGCACCCGCCGUGUAAGUACCAAAAUUCCUUCUUUACGGUUCAUCAAGAUUGUGGAUUUUUAGGGUUCGUCAAAAUUGGGGACUUUUUUCAGGGUUUCGAAGUUGACUCCCCUCCUUCUAUCUUGCUGCCUUGAGACAUUAUGGCCCAUUAUACCCAUGGCGUUGAAUAGACUUCAUCACCGAAUUCACGAAAGAAACUAAACAAAAAUGUGGGUAAAACUUAUGUUUCGGAAAUAUGCUUAUUUAGUUCUAACAAAGCACGUACAAUAUCAGCAGAAACCACCUCGUCCCCAUGUCUCUCGGAAGGCACGUCCAACCAAGCAAACAACAACAAAAGAACGAAACCUGGCAGACCGCAAAUCCGGAAUCAAAGAUAAAAAAAAAUACAAAAAAAAUGGUACACACACAACAGAACGAAAAGGAAAAAACAUUAGCGAAAACCAAACGCGAAAAAGCAGACAACAAAAUAAAAAUCAAAAAAGAAAAAGAUAAACGCAACAACGACGGAAUGAAAGACCAAAAAAUUAGAGACAAAAACCAACAGAACAAACCACGCAGCAGCACCCGAAGCAGAACUCCACAGCAGCACCAACCCCACCUUAACGAAAGCGAGCAAACGAAAAGCAGGCGCACGAAAAACCACGACCAGCAGCCACACCGCGGAGCAAAGAGCCAGAAGUAACGCUCGAAUUGAUAGUAAGGAGAAGAAUUCUCCAGAACACAGUCCAACGACACGUCAUAGGGACACCUCAGGCUCUCCAGAGGACACCCGUCGGCCUGCAUGUAGCACUUUUCAACCACUCUCGCUGAUGGUGGCCCAUAUCAACCGACCACAAUAAAAAUAAAUCGCGAAAUCAUAAAGGCAUUCGUGGAGCAACCAGGAGCCGAAUAACUCUUCGGCUUUAAGUUUGUAGAGUUACUGGAUCAUUUAGAGUUAAAUUCACGACAUGUCUUAAAAGUAUUAGCGUGGUGUAAUCUAGGUCCUAAUAGUGUGAAAUUGCAGAUUUGAGUCCUAAAAGUACUUGAAGUGUAUCACCGGCGGUCCUAAACACGCCGGAGCAGAUCUGACCUGUCCAUAUGUCCUGUUGACCAGCGCUGACCGGCCGCGUCGGAUUAAGAAAGAAUACUCCAAUUUGCAAUUUGCCCUGGAAAUCCUCCGACCCCAAAUCGUGCCUUGGCUCUUCUUUCUGGGCGGCUUUCGGAGCACGACCAUGCCGCUCGCAGCAGGCUCUGGGCGCGGCCACAUGCGGCCGACGGCGGCGGGGGUUCACCGGAGAGCGAUGGCGGAGGAGGGAGGGCGGGGCAGUGCAGAGGAUUGCGGCCGGCAACGGCGGUGGAGUCGUCGCCAGAGUUGGGGAAGGUGGCUGCGGAUCCAUCACCUUUGGCCACGAUGGGGCGCGCCGAGAGAUCGUACGGGUGCGCUCCUGCACGGUGAAGGCGAAGGCGUCGACGGCGACGAAGAUGCGGUGCUGGAGGCAGCCGGCGACGGGGAGCUCACAGCGGCAGCGAGGAACGAGACGCGGGGGAGAUGCAGUGCGCAGGGGCUCCGGGCGAGGGCGAAUCCGGCCUCGGGGAGUCGAGGCAGUCCUCACAGGCGGUUCGACGAGGCCGUGGAGGUGCGGGAGCGGCGGUUCCGAGCCCGGUGACGCCUGGCCGGAGCUCGGGUAGAUGAUGCCCGCGUGGCGCUCGGGCGCGCAUGGGCCUAGGCGGUUCGGAUGAGAGGGAAUCAUGAGGCUGGGGCCUAGCAAGAGGUGUGAGAGGAGCUCGCGGGAACUAGAAGAGGAGGCGCCCGUGCGAGAAAGAAGAGCGAGGGCCACGAUUUGGGGUCGGGGGAUUUAUAGGAAAAAUUGCAAAUUUGAUUAUCCUUUCUUAAUCCUACGUGGCCGGUCAGCGCUGAUCAAUGGGUCACGUGGACAUGUCAUACCUGAUCCGGCGUGUUUAGAACCGUCAGUGACACACACCCAAAACUUUAUUUUCAUACCAUUAGGAUCUAGAUGUCACCACGCCAAUACUUUUGGGACCUGCCGUACAUUUAACUCGAUCAUUUACUUGUGAAAUAGCACUUAAAUCAAACCUGUAGCUAAACAAGAAUGCACGUGUAUUAUGGAUAAACCAACUAUGUUUCGAUUCAACCUACAUGUUUAAUCAUGUGUAUAAACAAACUGACAAAAUAGUACACUAUGUAUUUUAUGUUGGAUUUGCCCAAAGAUCAAUCACAUGAAGACGCACACACACAAACGAUCACACAAUUAUUUUUGCCAAGGCCACGUAUCGUGACCUCUAUUUUUUUUCUCUAUUUCUUUCUCAAUACUCGGUACAAGAUAGCACCGUAUACACAUCUAUUUAUACAUGGUCCUGCACACCUAAACUAGCCGGCCACAUAAACCAGAUAUGAUUAGGACUUGAACAUACUUGUACUGGUCCAACUCUAACUAGUACUUUACUAACUCUAAUCCUAAACUAACACACGGCCAGCACUUCUAAUCCUACGAGGACUCGAUUUCAAGAUUACUCUAAGAAUCUCCCCCUAAUCUUGAAGAUGCCGUCUGCCGCGCCCCUUGCUCUUGGCUCUCUCCAGCUUCAUGACUCGUCGACUCAACUCAACGCAUGAGCCGAACUACCAGCCCACGCGGACACAUCUCGUGUGCUACGUGGAGAUUAGACACACCGUUAAUCUCACGUAGGAACUCAACUAAACUAGUCAUGGUCCCACUACACGCCAAGCCUGAUCUUCUCGCCGAGACACGCAGAUGACCAUAUGCCGCCUUGUCUGCACGCACGUCGAUCUCUUUCUCCGAUGACACACCAUACCAGACAACCUUCGACCGUGACAUGGUUCCACUGCAAUAGAGCCUCACACUGACGAGCACUUGGACACAACCACGACUCACAGACAUUGAUCUGGACAGGCAUAACUCUUCAACGAGCUUGCCGACGAUAGUUUGCCCUGAUGCCGAGUACUUUCCAGCGAUCAGUAUUAUGAUCUCCCGUUACUGGAAGAUCGGCCCACCUCGACGACAACUCGAUCCAAUCCACGCCACGCUACUCCGUUGCACAACCGCAGAUCGCCACCCUGAUCCACGGACGUCGCUGCGCUGCCAUUGCCCGCCCCGAGGCGCUAGCAGAUCGCCUCCCCGGGGCAAGCGCGUCUUCAAAUCUUGGACCUCACUCUGAUACCAAAUGUUGUGUUUGCCCAAAGAUCAAUCACAUGAAGACACACACGCACAAACGAUCACACAAUUAUUUUUGCCAAGAGCGCGUAUCGUGCCCUCUAUUUCUUUUUCUAUUUCUUUCUCAAUACUCGGUACAAGAUAGCACCGUAUACACAUCUAUUUAUACAUGGCCCUGCACACUUAAACUAGCCGGCCACAUAAACCAAAUAUGAUUAGGACUUGAACAUACUUGUACUAGUCACGGCCAGCGCUCCUAAUCCUAUUAGGACUCAAACUCAAGAUUACUCUAACAUUUUAUACCAUAGCAGCUCGCAACAUUCUUAACCUCUUCAUUUAUUCUCUUCGACUAAAACUUUUAGCAUGUGUGUCCAAUUUCAUGUGCAGAUCACAUGGGGCAAACAAUACAUUUGUCCUUUGCUUGUGGAGUUCCCUGUGACAAGGGGUGCAUGCUCCUGAAAGAUAGAUACUUCUGUUUCUUCUCAAGCUAAAAAAAAAUCAAGGGAUCUCUUUUCAUAUGAUUUUCUUGUAGAGAUCUUUGGGUGGGGUGGUAACAAAGAGUCAUGCAGGUUUUCCUAUUUAUGUAUUUCUUUGGUACUCUCUCCGUUCCACAUUUCUUGUCUCAAAUUUGCCUAAAAAUGGAUGUAUCUAUUUUUAAAAAGUGUCUAAAUACAUGGGAGUAAUAAAGAUUGGUAAAAAAAUCAGUUCUUUUGGCUCAUGAUGUUCCAAACUUUAUCAUCUCUGUAGUUAUAUUAGAUGAUAACAGAUAAGGUUGCAUUGAAUCAGCAAUCCUAGAUUUUUAUUCCAGACAGUGGCUAAUACUUUAUCAGUCCCGUUGUAUAUGUUUUCUCUCUUGCUUGCACUUAAGUAUUUGUCUCCAUUUGCUUCGUAGUAGAGUAACAUCAAUGCAUUGUUUUCUUACAAUACAUUUAGUGUCCAAUUAUGCCAUUAACAUUAGUUCUCGCAGUUAUGUCGGAAUUCUAUGGCAAUUGUAAACUUGUCGGUCUUUGCAAAGAGAUAACAUCUGCGAUGUCUCAGUUCUGAUGGGGAGACGAAGGAAAUAAGAAAUGCACGCACUGGUUUGCUUGGUGGAAUGGAGACAUGGGGGUAUGGGUUUUAGAGAUAUUCGCUGUUUUGAUCUUGCUUUGCUUGCUAAACAGGCGUGGAGACUUGUGGAUUCGCCACACUCGUUCCGUGCUUCUGUCCUGCCGAAGGACCUUCCAGAUGGCAACCUCCUCAAUGCCACACUUAAAAAGGGGCCUCCUUUACUUGGCAAAGUGUUAUGGCGGGUGUGAACACCCUCAAGCGUGGAUAAUCUGGAGAAUUGGUAAUGGGUCGAACGUUGACAUCUGAACGGAUCCUUGGCUUCCUGGUUGUGUCCCGAGGGGGCAAAACCUCUUGUCCAAAGUAGCGGACUUGAUUGAUCCCUCCACACCGGUGAAUGGGAUGUGCAGCUAGGCCUGGUAAUGGGUUGGAUUCAAAUGGUUUUUAUGGUUCGGGCUCUCAACUGGGUCGUCUUUCGGUGGGUGGAAAUGGAUUGACUUUCCGAAUGGAUGGGUCUGGUGCGGUUUUAACGUAGAAAUGGUUUGGGGUGGUUUGGUUUUGGACUCAAACGCUUUGGUUUUGUAUGGGCUGAACCCGUGGAUUCCCUCUGGGCUCGACCCGUGGGCAGAGGAGCAGCUAGCGUCGUGUCCAGCGUCUUCUCCGUCUUCCCCAGAUCCUUGCUGGGGGCCUAGGGUUGCGCCGCCGCCGUCUCCCCCAUCCGGCGCUCCACCGCCGGCGUACCUAGGGCCGCCGGAUUCCGCGGAUCCGGUCCCUCACGCUGCCUUCCCCCAGGGAUUUCUCUGCCUAGAUCAUCCUCUCAUUGGCUGGCCCUGCUAGCGAUUGUUCCCCAAGGUCCUACUCUGCCACAAGAUUCCACCAGGACAACUUCCUUUUGCUCCAUCCGAUCUCAAUCGAACCGCCCUUCACUAAAUCGGUAAGCAAUGUUAGAUUCUGUUUUUGGAUGAAUCCGAGGAUUGCUUUCCAGAAUUUUCGUUUUACUCCCGUUUUUGUUGUUCAAGUAGGUGCAGUACUAAUUGAAUACCUAUUUUAUUUGAAGGUACUGAUUGAGUAAAUGUACUUAAUUUGGCCGUUGGCUUCAAGUACUGCUUACAGGUGAUUAUUCACAUGUCCUAAUUUAUUUUUUAUUGUCUGUUCUGCUCACUAUGUUUAUGCAGAAUUCCCUAAUGCAUUGCUUGAAUGUAUAGAGAAUUAACUACUAAAUACUAAUAUUAAUUUCACAUAUACAGCAUGAGAGAUGGUUAUUUUGAUAGGGCAGUUGGUCCUUUGCUAAGAUGUUAUUACAGAUUGACAGCACAUGUCCACUGCCUCCUCCUAGUCACCGAGACCUUCCACAUCUGCCCUGUGAGUGUAUCUUAGUUGUGUUGUAGAACUGCAAGUUUGUCCUGCUUAAUAUGGUCUGAUGCAAAUGGUUUUUUUUUUCGUUAGGAAAACAUAACCGUUGAUACUAGAGUUUCUUGUUAUGUCAUGAGAUGUUGUCUGUCAUUACUGAAUGUGCAAUGCCAAUCAUGCAGCCAGAGCAUGAUAGUCUCUGCAUGUAUAUCUUCUAGUUAUGUGAAGCUUGUAUGAAUAUAUGAAAAAUCUGAAGCUUAUCAGUGAAGCUUAUCUGAAUAACUAUGUAUGUAAAAUCUCAAAAGUUAUAUGUGUGUAGCUACUGUUAGUUCAGAAUUAAUUGAACUGAAGCUUAAUUAUGUCGACACUAAUUCCUGAUGUUUCAUCCCUGUAUAGAUAUCACAUGGGCCUCCCCUGCUAUGCAAAUAAUUUCCUUUCUAUAAGCAGAUCACUCCAUGUUUCAGGUGGUGAAGUGUUCACACAAAUCAUUGUACAAGUGUUGAAUGGAAGGAGUCCAUGAAGAUGGUGACAAAAUUGGUGUAAAAAGAUGGGGCUUUUGCUCACUGACCAGAUGCACUGAAGCUAUGGACCCUAGUAAAGUUACUUUGUGUAGUUACUCCUAGAAAUCAUGUCUAAUGAAGUAAUAAUUCAAUCUAUGUAACUAACCGUUAAUUAAGCAGACAUUUGAUGGGACUUGAUAGUUGCGAUUGUUUGCCUGGAAGGAUUUUUUUUUUUUGCAAUUGUCAUUUCACAUUACAUAAUAUUUGUUUCAUUUGGAUAGCAGGGUUAACCUGUACUGCACCUUUAAUGUUUCACUUUAAGAGCUGAAGUACCGAAUCCAACAGCCAGCACGUCUGCAUGCGCAUCGUGGAUUGUGAGCUAAACUAUCGAUGGCUCUUCUAGUGUGUGUACCGUGGUUCCGAAAUGGUCUGAAAUGGUUUGCCCAGUCCAUUUGGUUGAUUCGGGUUGGAUGUAGAUCGCGUACGAGUUGGUCUGGACUGGAUCGAAGGGUCUAGUGUUUGGGGUGGAUGCAGAUUGGUUUUAUGUAUUGUCUUAUCUGGUUUGGUGCGGGUAUGGUCCGGAUUUCAAACCAUUACCAGGCCUAAGUUGGCCCGGCGAGUAUGCCGGAAUCCGGGCCGAAGGUAGCAGCGGAUGACGAUGAGGCCCCCGCCGCCACUGUUUGGCCGGGGAGGGCAUCGUCCGCUUGCUGCGGAGCCUCCUCCACGCCCGCGCCCAUGGGUUGCGGGGAUGGCGGAGUUGCCGUUUCCCCGGCAGGAGACGCCUCCUGCGGGAUCCGCGUCCCCGGCCUGAACGGCCCGGGACGCGCUGCCAAGCUUCGCCCCGAUAGCACCGGCGGGCGCCUCCACCGUUGCGUCCGCCGCGGGGGAGCUGGGGGCAGGAGCCCCUUCUGGCUCCUCCCUCGUCCUUGCGUCCUCGGCGUCAGAGCCGAAGUCAACCACCACCGUGCCCGC
RNAcentral lists this long non-coding RNA (71895 nucleotides) under Brachypodium distachyon (stiff brome). RNAcentral's name for it is "long non-coding RNA (BDIS_LNC000028)". The stretch from base 64657 to 64741 matches the Rfam family "MIR9657 microRNA precursor family". Lineage: Eukaryota; Viridiplantae; Streptophyta; Magnoliopsida; Poales; Poaceae. The record is from RNAcentral.